UUUUUUUUUUUUUUUUUUAAGGUUUUGAAAAUUUUCACACAAAAAUAAUAAAGAAAAAAAUUCCUAUAAUUUUAUUGUCCAUGAUUAAAUUAUAGAUGAGGAAAAUUUCUUAGCCCUUCUUCUCUCUUUUUAUAUUUUUUAAUUACAAUAUUUUUGCAUUAUCCAAAUAUAAUUUCUAUAUAUAAAAAAAAACAAACAUAAUUUAAAUAAUUAGAAAUUUAUUUUUGUUUAUAUUGACAUAUUAGCUUUAAUUUAAAUUUGAAAUAUGCUAUAAUUUAAUUUCCCUAUAUACAGUUUUUAGCUUUACAUCUCAACUAAAAUUUAUUCCAAAGCUUAUGAUGUGUAAAAAAAAUCUCAAAUUGUCUUAUGUUAUGAGCUUUAACAAACAAAUUGUCUUAUGUUCCAAACGUUUGAGUCAUCAUUUUCAAUUUAACAAAGUUGAUAAUAAUAAUAAUCACAUAGUACCUGUAAACACUACGAAAAAUACAUUACUAGACAUUGAUAUUCAUAACACAUUUCCAUAACCUAUGUUAAACUAGAUAUUACAAUAAGCAAAACACAUGCUACAAAGAAGCCAAUAAAGAAACUGAUUACAUAUGUAUAUGAAAAUAUUUUGCAAGGAAUGCUUAUCAUCAACUAUAUGUUUAGACUUUGGUUUGCCAGCUGAUGAACAUUCAUCACUUCUCUUCCAUCUUGGUGCAUAGAACAACCAAACUCGGACAACUUCCUCUCUAGAAGUAUAUGCUUUGUAAACACUCCCCUUAUAAAGGAGCACAUUCUUUUGACAUUCAACCCAAGAAUCGUACACUCCAUGUCGGUGACCCACAAACACUACAUAGUAUGUUUGCAUGUUCGUCAUCUGAUGACACAAUUGUUGUUGGUUAAUUUUUGAUAAUCAAUCAAUCAAGUAAUGACUAUUGCAAAAGAUAGUACAAAACGUAUAUAAUUCACACAUGCAUACCACAUUUUAGGAUAAUAAUAGUGAUGAUUAACUACAAAAUUCAAAAAAUAACCAUUAAUGUGUGGGAUUCAAGUUUUGAGGCUUCGAAUAGGUAGUACCCAACUUUAACUAAGGUAGUACCUAAGAUCAGUUAAGGUAGUACUGAAUGUUGAUUAAGGUGGUACCUAAAGGCUAUUAAGGUAGUACCUAAGGUACAAUCCCCAAAAUACCAAAGGUGAACCAAUUGAACAGACUAAAUAAUCACAUAAUGGGAUGCUCUAAGGGUCACAAAUGAUGGUCUAAGGCUUCGAAUAGGUAGUACCCAACUUUAACUAAGAUAGUACCUAAGGUCAGUUAAGGUAGUACCUAAGGUUGAUUAAGGUGGUAACUAAAGGCUAUUAAGGUAGUACCUAAGGUACAAUCCCCAAAAUGCCAAAGGUGAACCACUUGACCACACAAAAUAAUCACACAAUGGCAUGCUCUAAGGGUCACGAUUCCGAGGCUUCAGAUAGGUAGUACCCAACUUUAACUAAGGUAGUACCUAAGGUCGGUUAAGGUAAUACCUAAGGUUGAUUAAAGCGGUACCUAAGGUUAGUUAAGGUAGUACCUAAGGUUGAUUAAGAUGGUACCUAAGGGCUAUUAAGGUAGUACCUAAGGUACAAUAUCCAAAAUGACAAAGGUAAACCAAUUGAGCAUACUAAUUAAUCACAUAAUGUUAUACUCUAAGUGUCCCAAAUGAAGUAAGUAAUGUCCCUAAUUAAAGUUCCAAGACUUCGAACAGGUAGUACCCAAGUUUAACUAAGGUAGUACCUAAGGUACAAUCCCCAAAAUAACAAUACAACUUGCAACCGAAUAUGCUGUUAAGUUCCAUAUGGAUUCAAUGCGACUUGUAGGUCAUAUGGUUAUUUGAGAAUGAUAUGAUUUCCACAAAACACAAAAUUUCAAGUCCACUAACGACUCCAAAAUCGUUGAUGUGCUCUAUUUCAAACAAAUGAACUAAAGAACAAUAAAUAAAAAUUAUUUACCUUCAAAUUUCAAUUUGGGGUUAGGGCAAAAUGUGACUCAAUGACAAGAAGAGAUAUCUUGUUGACAAAGCCAAUAUUUUGGAUUCUAGUUUUUCGUUUGGGUACGGACUGUUGUAGUAAAUUCAUAAUCACAAAUGUGCCUCUUGAAGUCGUCUUUUAACCGGACAUUCUUAUGAUGGAAUGCUCCAUUUUGUUGCACUUUUAUGUGGACAAAAGAGAAACAUGUAUGUGGGAGUUGUGGAUUAAUGGUGUUUUUUUUUCUCUCAAAUAAGACAAUUUUUGGGAAAUUUUAGAUGGGUCUCGAGAUUGUGUGGGUGAUGAAGCUAAGAGAGAAAGAGAAAGAGAGAGAGAGAGAGAGAGAGAGAGAGAGAGAGAGAGAGAGAGAGAUGCUUCCAAAUCAAAGAGAAUAAAGGUUUCAGAUUAGGGAAAUAAUAGUUGGUUGUCGGGUCGAGUGAUUUUUCAUAGGUUUCAAAUUUAGAUUUUUUUAUUUUUUAAAUUUUCAGUCUCUCCUGUGACAUAGAGGGCUUGUUGCUAAUAUAGAGACAAGGUUGCAACUAACAAGGAGGCAUGGAGGCGCAAUUUAGGAACAUAAAAUGGAGUCAGCAAAAAGUGCAUGAGAAAGAUAAUAUUUUCCUUUUUGACAGUCAAAUCACAUAUUCUAGCUUAUUGGAGUUUGAUUGUCAUAUUACUUUCAAAUAGUUGGUUGCAAACACAACUUUCCCUUUUUUUUUCCUUACUCAAAUAUAGCAAUUUAAGAUAAAUAAAUAAAUGCAUAGCUGGAUGGGUACAUGACCCAUAGAGGAACCAGGACAUGACUAGUUGUUCAACCACUUGGCCUGUAAUAAUCCCAACUUGUCCUUCCAUGCCGUAAAAAAAAAUUUUAGAACCAUUUCUCAAUCUUGCUUUCUAUUGUUGUUGCAAAUAACUCAUCAAGAUUAAUUGGCAUUUCCAUAGGGAAAAAUGUUACAAGUACCAUGUUGUGACACACAUUAAUGCAUAGCUGAUCAACUAGAAUAUUAUGCUUCCUUGGAUAUAUUGUUGGAAGGGUGCAUGUGUGUUAAGAGUGAAAGAGUUUAAAGGUGUCAAUUCUAUAUUGAAAAUGGAUUGAAACGUUUUUCACUUUUAUAUAGUUUUUAAGUUCCUUAAUCUCUUGGGUUUAUGAACAGGGAAGUGUGAUUCGGUUUGUCCAUGGGACCUAAGUGUUAGAUUUUCCUAAACGGGUCCAGAAAUAUGAUUUAUAAUCUUCCAUCAAAUUUGGGAAUAAUGCUACACUUUCUUAUAUGGGUCUAAAAACGGGCUCAUAAUAUUAUGAAAUUUUCAUUGAUUUAGUUUUCCUUUUCAUUGUCAUCAAUAGCCAUAAAUUAUGAAAUUUGACUUUGUGAUGGGUAGAAUAAAUAUAAAUAGAAGCUUUGUAGUUAAGCCCCAUAAUCUUUGUGGUUAAGUCCCUAAACCUUCAAUCUUCAUUCAGACAUAUAUACAUCAUUGUUUGUGAUUGAUUAAGGGUUUAGAAGCACCUCAACCCAUUUUCAUAUCAAAUUUGAUUUCCGAAUUCCCAAAUAAUCAAUGGUUGGAGGUAUGUUUAAUUGUGUAAAUAUAAAGAGAAGCUUUGUAGUUAACAAUGAUGAAAAUAUCUGUAAUCACGGAUAUAUCAGUAUUUCGAUUUUACGAAAUAUCGGAUAUAUCAGUAGAUAUUUUGAAAUAAAAUAUUGGUAGACAUAAAAUUGAUCAAAAUUUAUAAAAAUAUAAAAUAAAACUUUUAGAAAUGAAAUUGAAAGUAUAAUAGACAUUUUAAAGUUGUUUUGUUGAAUAAAUUAAUGUAUAUGUAUAAUAUUCUACGUGUCAAUAAAAAAUAUAAAAUUGAAAGUGUAUAUUGAUUAUUAAAUUAUAUCAAAUAUUAUUUGAUGAUUAUAUUGUGAUAUUUGAUUAUAAUAUAUUUUGGUGGAUAUUUUAACACAAAAUAUUGUUAGACCUAAAAUUGAUCAAAACUUAUAAAAAUAUAAAAUAAAACUCUUAUAAAUGAAAUUAAAAGUACAAUAGACAUUUUAAAGUUACUUUUUUUUAUAUAAUAAAUUGUAUAUAUAUAUAUAUAUAUAUAUAUAUAUAUAUAUAUAUAUAUAUAUAUAUAUAUAUAUAUAUUCAUAUAAUAUUGUACGUGUCAAUAAAAAAUAUAAAUUUGAUAAGUGUACAUUGAUUAUUAAAUUAUAUCAAAUAUUAUUUGAUGAUAAUAUUGUGAUAUGUGAUUAUAAUAUGUUUAAUUUUAAAAUCUAUUUAAUAUUAAAAUUAUGAUACAUUAUAAAAUAAAUGAUGAUAAAUGUAUAAAUUUUUAAUAUUUAAUUAAUAUAUUAAUAAUAUUAAAAACACUAUGAAGAAAAUUAUGAUAUAUUUUUACUAAUCAAUUAAAUGAAAAUUUUUCAUUCAAUUAUAAAAUAGUUAUAAUUAAUUUGUUCUUUAAAGUGUUUUUUUUUUAAUAUUUUGUUUAUAUCCUAACUUUUGAUAUAUAUUUCUUUAGUGCAUAUUAUGCAUCAAAGGGUAAGCUUGUCCUAGUGGCGCCCUUUUGUUGGGGGUUCAAAUUCCCCCAAUAGCAGCAAGAAAAUAUCUCAAUUUUGAGCAUUGACCACCGAUAUAUCGAGACCCGCCAAUAUCGCGAUAUUUUCUUCACUGGUAGUUAAGUCCCAGAAGCUUUGUGGUUAAGUCCAUGAACCUUUAAUCUUCGUUCAGACAUAUAUAUACAUCAUUGUUUGUGAUUGAUUAAGAGUUUAGAAGCACCUCAACCUAUCAAAUUUGAUUUUCAAAGUCCCAAAUAAUCAAUGGUUGGAGGUAUGUUUCUAUGGGUCUUGAUUAUUAUUAUUUAUUUAUUUAUUUAUUUAUUCUCCUUUGGUUCCUUUUGUGUUCAUGACCUUCUUUUUUUUAGCCAAGAUCAAUGUUAAGAGGUCAAGUUUACAACAAUAAAAAAUUUUAAAAAAAUUGAAAUAUUUUUUAGAAAACAAAGGCUAUGCUUAGUUAAGAAAAACACUCAAAAGAGGGGGUGAAUUGGGUUUUUAAAAUCUUUUCAAUCACAACAAAUUCAAACACAAUAUAAGAAAAGUAAAGAGAUAGAGUUUAGAGAAUUCAAACUCGGGUUUAUAGUGGUUUAGCACUUCCUUGCCUACGUCCACUCUCCUCAACCUCUUAACCAAGUGAGGGUUCCACUAACUUGAAGUUUCAACCAAGCUUUCAAUCUUCUUACACUUGGAUUCCAGCUCCAAUGGGCUCUUACACAACCUCUUCAAGAUUCAACCCUCUUGAAGGCUUUAACACUCAGAUUUUUGCAAGAUAUAAUCCCUCAACCUAGCUUAAGGAUGACUUAAAUACAAGACAAAGCUAGGAUGACACACAAGAGUGCACUAAAGGAUAUGUAAGUGAUGAUUUAAUGCACUAUGAAAGAAAUGAGAGCUUUUUGAUCAAGAACAGGUAGGUAGGCUAUUGAAUGCAAGUGUUCUCUUGUCAAUAAAUGAAGUAGAGUUCUCAAUUUAUAGGUUUCUAAGCUCAGGAGUCAAAAACAGCAAAAGGUAACCUCAUCCGGUAGAGCUAGGGGUCGACCGGUUUACUAGCCGUUAGAGCAUUUAAUGCAUGAUAGGUUACCGUUGCCUCAAUUGGACCUCAACCGUUAAGAGAAACACCUCAACCGAGAAGAGAAGGCUACUGGGAGAGAGAGAGAAGGUUUUUGACCUCUCUCGACCGGAUGACCACAACCGGUCGAUCGGUUCCUCAACCGGUUGAGCCGGUUGGCCAUAACCUCGACCGGUUGAGCCUUUUUUACCCCAAAAACCUAUUUGUUUAAUUUCUUUCUUUUCUAACAUUUAGGCAAGGUCUUUAGGUAAAUUAUUAAGCCAAUUUUGAAACAUUUGGCCUAAGGUACAUUAGUUAAAAACUCGGGUUUUAAUGAAAUCGACGUUUUAAAGAAUAAACCGAGUUUUCAAAGAUGCAUGAAACAUGUGAAAAUCCUAAGUGCACUCAUGCAUUCAUCUUACAUUAGUUUCCUAUGAUCACAAGUCUUCCAAGCAUCUCGAUCUUGUAUCCAUUUGGUUCUUUGAUGAAUUUUUGAGUUUAUACCUGAGAUUCUUAAACAUUAAACCAAUUAGUCACUUAACCAUGAUUUGUUAUCAUCAAAACCCGAUUAGGAGAACCUUUGGGCUAACAAUUUUCAUAAAUUUAAAAAUUCGGGUAUUUUGUGAAGAUUUCAUAAAUUUGGUAUUUUUGUGAAAAAAUUUCAUAUUUUUUAUGUUUUAUGAAAAAUUUAUAAAUUUGGCAUUUUAUGAAUACCCUUUUUUGAAAUUGAGGUUUGGAUAUUUAUGUGCUUAAAACUCUGUCAUUUUUGUAUGUAUAAUUUAUUGUUUUCAUUAUACAUGGAAUUUGAAUUUUUAAAAGAUAAAUUUAAACAAUGUUCAUAUAUAUAUAUAUAUAUAUAUAUAUAUAUAUAUAUAUAUAUAUAUAUAUAUAUAUUGCUUAUGAUUGCAUGCAAUUUAUAUGAACAAUUUUGUGAAUAAAAUUAAAUGUCGAGUAAUCCAUAUAAUUUUAAUUAAUUAGGGAUUAACCGCAACAUCUUUAAUUAUGCAAAAUUAUAUAUUAAGUGUUUUAGGAUCACAUAUGGAAAAAUGACAUUGAUUGUAAUUAAUUACAUUUAAAUAUAAUAAACUUUAUCCUACAUGAAUUUUUAUUAUAUUUGUAUGAUUAAUUAGGAUAGAAUAUUAAAUUAUAUUCUUAAUUUAUCCACAAGAAUUAGGAAAAUAAUAUAAUUUGACAGUUUUAUCAUAAAGUUAAAUGGAUCUAAUUUGAUUUAAAUUCUUCUAUUUGUAUUAAAAAUUAAGUAGGAAAUAACAUAAUAUAAUUGAAGAUAAUAAUAAAAAAAUUAAAUUUAUCUGUAUUUCUAGAAAAUAAAAUAGUAUAUAAUAUAAUUAAUUACAAUUUUACACUUUUUAAAAAAAAUUAUUUUUAAAACAAAUAAAAAUAAUAUUAUUGUACAUGAUAACAUAAAAUAUAAGUAGUGUAAAAAUCUUAAAUCAAAUUUGAGUUAGUAUCAUAAAUAAGUUUGGAUAAAAAUAAUAAUAAAGCCCAAAUUAAACAAAGAUUAAAAAUGAUUUUCUUAACCCGUUCAAAAAAUUAAAUUAGUUGGGUGGGUCCAACUCCCUUUAAUAGAAGGGUACAAAGUUUUGAAACCAUUCAUUUAGUAGUGCAACAACCUUGGCCCAUAUAUUUUUUUUUUUCCAUAUUUUAAAGUCAAUAAUUUGUUUUUUAAAGGGAAAAAGACUUAUAUUGGCAUCCCUAUAAUUACCUAUCUUCAAAUUUUUAACCAUUUGAUAUCUAUAAAUAAGUUGAAUCAUAAUAAUAGCUAAAAUAGAUUUUCAAGCAUAUCAUACUUCAAAAAUAAAAAAUAAAAAACUGAAGUUUGAUGACUAUAGUGAAUGUUAAAAAAAAUUUCCCCCAUUAUUUCAUACCAUAAAAAAUUAUAAAAAUAAAAUGAAACAUUGUUUAAUUUUAUUUUAUUUUUUCUAAUUAUAAGAGUUUCAUACUUAACCAAUUAGGGCAAUUCUCAUACAUAAGUUCUAACUUCUUCCAUUAUUAUUUUGUUUUCAUCUAAAAAAUAGAAUUUUGUCUUUGAUCUAUUCCAUUGAAGCCACUCAAUUGUAUUUGAGAAAUCACCAUCCACUUUGACAUGACCACCACAACAUAAUCUACGAGAAAAGGGUAUGUCUUGCAACAAGUUAAAAGAAUAUAGUAUUCAACAACCAAAGCAAUGUUCACCAGGUUUUCAACCUUUGACACUCAUUUCAAAGAAAUGCAAUUAAAAGAGCAUUUUGUGUUUUGAAUAAAAGGUUUUCAAGAAUAGUUAGUGAAACAAAGCCACACCACCCCGUCACCAUACAAGCUAAUAUCAUUUUAGCAUAUCAUAUCUUAUAUAAUCAUCUUAUGAGUAUUGAUCUAAUUGAAAGACGUAUAAUAGAGGUUGAGAGAGAGCUUUGCAGUGAAGAAGUGGAGUUGGAUUCGAUGAUCUCGAGUUUAAAUGAAAAAUAUAAGAAAGAAAAAAAAAUCUUAAAGUAGAAAAUAGUCAUGAAUACGACUACAUUAGUUGGAUUCAAUUAGAGGAAUUAAUGUAUCCCAUAUAAAAGCGCCUCAAGUUCUUAUAGGUGAUCUUCAGCUUUCCUUACUUAACCAAUUGAUCAACACAAGAUUUAAUUGUCAGUGAAAUUUGGACUUACAUUUUUUAAUGUAUAGCUUAUGAUGGAGAUUUAUUUUUAUUUUUAGUUUUAUUUUGGUGGUUAUAUUCAAAAUUUUAGCAUAAUGUUCAAAUUUUAUUUGAUUUAUAUAUACUAAUAUUUUCUUUUCAAUGGACAACCAAAUAAAAAAAAAUGCAUUUUUGUUGUUGUCUUUUUCUUUCCUUUCACUUUUCUUUUUGUAUCUCUUUUCUGUUGGGAUGUUCAGUUAAAGUAGUCAAAGUUGUUAGAAUUUCAUUCUGUUAAUAGUUCCUAUUUUUUGGGACAUGUUGGUAGGAUUUGACUAUUUCCUUAGCCAUUUACCACGUUCUUACGUGGGCUGUUUGUUUCCUUUUUAAUCUCUUUUGUAAGGCUUAUAUAAGCCCAUAGCUUGUUUUGAAUUGAAUAAGACUCAUUCUCAUAUUGUGAGUGAAUUGCAUUAUGUCUACAGUUUACAACAAUCUGGUAUCAGAGCCCCAUCACGGGGCCUGAUUGUGAGAGAAAAGAAACCGCGGUUUCUUGUAGAGAGAAAGAGUGAAAAGAGAGUAAGAUAAGAGAAAGAGUGAUCAAAGUAUGGCAGCUGAAAGUAGUAACUUUGUUCAACCUGCAAUUCCUAAGUUCGAUGGCCAUUAUGAUCAUUGGUCUAUGCUUAUGGAAAAUUUUCUUCGUUCAAAGGAGUAUUAGAGCUUGGUGGAGAAUGGAAUCCCUGCCACAGCAAAAGGAAUAGAGCCUACUGAAGCUCAACAGAAGGCAAUUGCAGAUCACAAGCUGAAAGACUUGAAGGUCAAGAAUUAUCUGUUCCAAGCCAUAGAUCGAAACAUUAUGGAGACCAUCCUCAAUAAAGAGACUGGUAAGCAUAUCUGGGACUCUAUGAAGCAGAAGUACCAAGGUUCCACAAGAGUCAAAAGGGCACAACUUCAAGCACUUCGAAGAGAAAUCGAGGUUCUGCAGAUGAAAGAGGGUGAAAGUGUUGAUGAGUAUUUUGCUCAAACACUCACCAUAGCAAACAAGAUGAAGAUUCAUGGUGAAAGCAUGAAGCAAGUGGUGAUCAUUGAAAAGAUCCUGAGAUCAAUGACUUCAAGGUUUGACUAUGUUGUGUGUUCAGUUGAAGAGUCUAAUGAUUUAGACACUUUAACCAUUGAUGAGUUGCAAAGUAGCUUGUUGGUUCAUGAGCAGAGGAUGAAUGGGCAUGGAAGAGAUGAGCAGGCAUUGAAGGUGACCUAUAAUGAUAAAUUUGCUGGAAGAGGAGGUCGUGGUCGUGGAGCUUUUCGAGGAAGAGGCAGAGGAAGGGGCAGGCAAGCAUUCAACAAAGCUAUAGUUGAGUGCUACAAGUGUCAUCAAUUAGGGCACUUUCAAUAUGAGUGUCCUAAAUGGGAUAAGGGAGCACAUUAUGCAGAACUUGAUGAGAAAGAGGAGAUGCUAUUGAUUUCGUAUGUGGAGCUUAACCAAUCAAGGAAAGAAGAUGUUUGGUUUCUUGACUCGGGGUGCAGCAAUCAUAUGUGUGGAAAUAAGCUGUGGUUCUCGGAUCUUGAUGAGGAAUUCCGGCAAUUUGUAAAGCUCGGGAACAAUUCCAAGAUGACUGUAUUGGGAAAGGGAAACAUUAGAAUGCAAGUUGCUGGAGUUACUCAGGUAAUUACAGAUGUUUUCUAUAUUCCUGAGUUGAGAAACAAUUUGCUAAGUGUUGGACAAUUGCAAGAGAAAGGAGUGGCUAUUCUGAUCCAACAUGGAGAAUGCAGAGUCUAUCAUCCUGAGAAAGGGCUCAUUAUGCAAACAUCAAUGUCUGCAAAUAGGAUUUUCAUACUGCCCGCAAGAGUUAUGACAAAAGCUCCCAUUUGUUUUCAAAUAACUCUUGAAGACAAUACACACCUCUGGCAUUGUAGAUAUAGGCACCUAAGCUUUAAGGGUCUCAGAACAUUGUAGUAUAAGGAGAUGGUGAGAGGGCUACCACAGCUGAAAGCAUCAUCCAAAGUAUGCACUGAUUGCAUGAUGGGAAAGCAACACAGGAACGCAAUUCCAAAGAGGAGCUUGUGGAGAGCAUCACAGAGGCUACAGUUGGUACAUGCUGACAUUUGUGGACCCAUCAAACCUGUCUCCAACAGUAAAAAGAGGUACCUUAUUAGCUUUAUUGAUGAUUAUAGCCGUAAGGUAUGGAUAUAUUUUCUUACGGAGAAGUCUGAAGCUUUUACUACCUUCAAGAAUUACAAAAAUCUUGUUGAGAAAGAGACAGGAGCUUUUAUUUGUUGUUUGCGCACAGAUAGGGGUGGAGAGUUCACAUCUCUCGAAUUCAAUGCCUUUUGCAAAACUAAUGGUAUUAGUAGGCAACUCACUGCAGCCUAUACUCCUCAACAAAACGGAGUAGCUGAGCGCAAGAACAGGACAAUCAUGAACAUGGUUAGAAGCAUGUUAUCGGAGAAGCAAGUCCCAAAGAAUUUCUGGCCAGAAGCAGUGAACUGGACAGUUCAUGUGCUCAAUAGAAGUCCUACAUUGGCAGUAAAAGGCGUGACCCUUGAAGAGGCUUGGAGUGGUGUUAAACCCAAUGUUGAUUAUUUUCGAGUUUUUGGAUGCAUUGGCCAUGUUCAUGUGCCAGAUAACAAGAGAAAGAAGCUAGAUGAUAAGAGCUUUCAAUGUGUGUUGCUAGGGGUGAGUGAAGAGUCUAAAGCAUAUAGACUUUAUGAUCCAGUGUCCAAGAAGAUAGUUGUAAGCAGAGAUGUUGUUUUCGAAGAAGAUAAGUGCUGGAAUUGGGGGAGGAGUAAUGAAGAAGUAAGACUUGAUGUGCUUGAAUGGGGAGAUAGCAAUGAAGAAGGGAGUGAAGAUGAACAAGGUGAAGAUGACGCUGAAGAGGGGGUGGCAGUAGAGGGAAGAGAAAGAGAGGAUAGUUUGUCUUCGAGUGAGUCACUUGGUUCUUUGAGUGAGUCACUUGGUGAAAAUUCAGGAGUAUCUGGAGAAAGCUCACCAAGCUCACAACAAGGGAGAAACAGAAGAGUACCAUUCUGGAUGGAAGAUUAUGUGAGUGGGGGAGAAUUUUCAGAAGGCGAUGUUGAGCCCAACUUGGUCCUAUUUACCUCAACUGCAGAUCCAACUACUUUUGAAGAAGUUGUUCAAAGUUCCAAGUGGAGAGCUACAAUGGACUUGGAAAUAGAAGCAAUAGAAAAGAAUGGGACUUGGGAGCUGACGGACUUGCCUGAAGGAGUGAAGAAGAUUGGAGUAAAGUGGGUUUUCAAAACCAAACUCAAUGAAAAUGGCAAGGUUGACAAGUGUAAAGCUCGGCUGGUGGCAAAAGGGUAUGCACAACAACAUGGCAUAGACUAUACUGAGGUGUUUGCUCCUGUGGCCAGGUGGGAUACAAUUAGAAUGGUGAUUGCUUUAACAGCUCGAAAUGGUUGGAGUGUGUACCAGCUUGAUGUCAAAAGUGCUUUCUUACAUGGUGAGCUAAAUGAAGCAGUGUUUAUUGAGCAACCACAGGGCUAUGAGAAGAAAGGUGAAGAGCAUAAGGUGUACAAACUAAAGAAGGCAUUGUAUGGGCUUAAACAAGCUCCUCGUGCAUGGUAUAGUCGAAUUGAAGCAUACUUUAUCANNNNNNNNNNNNNNNNNNNNNNNNNNNNNNNNNNNNNNNNNNNNNNNNNNNNNNNNNNNNNNNNNNNNNNNNNNNNNNNNNNNNNNNNNNNNNNNNNNNNNNNNNNNNNNNNNNNNNNNNNNNNNNNNNNNNNNNNNNNNNNNNNNNNNNNNNNNNNNNNNNNNNNNNNNNNNNNNNNNNNNNNNNNNNNNNNNNNNNNNNNNNNNNNNNNNNNNNNNNNNNNNNNNNNNNNNNNNNNNNNNNNNNNNNNNNNNNNNNNNNNNNNNNNNNNNNNNNNNNNNNNNNNNNNNNNNNNNNNNNNNNNNNNNNNNNNNNNNNNNNNNNNNNNNNNNNNNNNNNNNNNNNNNNNNNNNNNNNNNNNNNNNNNNNNNNNNNNNNNNNNNNNNNNNNNNNNNNNNNNNNNNNNNNNNNNNNNNNNNNNNNNNNNNNNNNNNNNNNNNNNNNNNNNNNNNNNNNNNNNNNNNNNNNNNNNNNNNNNNNNNNNNNNNNNNNNNNNNNNNNNNNNNNNNNNNNNNNNNNNNNNNNNNNNNNNNNNNNNNNNNNNNNNNNNNNNNNNNNNNNNNNNNNNNNNNNNNNNNNNNNNNNNNNNNNNNNNNNNNNNNNNNNNNNNNNNNNNNNNNNNNNNNNNNNNNNNNNNNNNNNNNNNNNNNNNNNNNNNNNNNNNNNNNNNNNNNNNNNNNNNNNNNNNNNNNNNNNNNNNNNNNNNNNNNNNNNNNNNNNNNNNNNNNNNNNNNNNNNNNNNNNNNNNNNNNNNNNNNNNNNNNNNNNNNNNNNNNNNNNNNNNNNNNNNNNNNNNNNNNNNNNNNNNNNNNNNNNNNNNNNNNNNNNNNNNNNNNNNNNNNNNNNNNNNNNNNNNNNNNNNNNNNNNNNNNNNNNNNNNNNNNNNNNNNNNNNNNNNNNNNNNNNNNNNNNNNNNNNNNNNNNNNNNNNNNNNNNNNNNNNNNNNNNNNNNNNNNNNNNNNNNNNNNNNNNNNNNNNNNNNNNNNNNNNNNNNNNNNNNNNNNNNNNNNNNNNNNNNNNNNNNNNNNNNNNNNNNNNNNNNNNNNNNNNNNNNNNNNNNNNNNNNNNNNNNNNNNNNNNNNNNNNNNNNNNNNNNNNNNNNNNNNNNNNNNNNNNNNNNNNNNNNNNNNNNNNNNNNNNNNNNNNNNNNNNNNNNNNNNNNNNNNNNNNNNNNNNNNNNNNNNNNNNNNNNNNNNNNNNNNNNNNNNNNNNNNNNNNNNNNNNNNNNNNNNNNNNNNNNNNNNNNNNNNNNNNNNNNNNNNNNNNNNNNNNNNNNNNNNNNNNNNNNNNNNNNNNNNNNNNNNNNNNNNNNNNNNNNNNNNNNNNNNNNNNNNNNNNNNNNNNNNNNNNNNNNNNNNNNNNNNNNNNNNNNNNNNNNNNNNNNNNNNNNNNNNNNNNNNNNNNNNNNNNNNNNNNNNNNNNNNNNNNNNNNNNNNNNNNNNNNNNNNNNNNNNNNNNNNNNNNNNNNNNNNNNNNNNNNNNNNNNNNNNNNNNNNNNNNNNNNNNNNNNNNNNNNNNNNNNNNNNNNNNNNNNNNNNNNNNNNNNNNNNNNNNNNNNNNNNNNNNNNNNNNNNNNNNNNNNNNNNNNNNNNNNNNNNNNNNNNNNNNNNNNNNNNNNNNNNNNNNNNNNNNNNNNNNNNNNNNNNNNNNNNNNNNNNNNNNNNNNNNNNNNNNNNNNNNNNNNNNNNNNNNNNNNNNNNNNNNNNNNNNNNNNNNNNNNNNNNNNNNNNNNNNNNNNNNNNNNNNNNNNNNNNNNNNNNNNNNNNNNNNNNNNNNNNNNNNNNNNNNNNNNNNNNNNNNNNNNNNNNNNNNNNNNNNNNNNNNNNNNNNNNNNNNNNNNNNNNNNNNNNNNNNNNNNNNNNNNNNNNNNNNNNNNNNNNNNNNNNNNNNNNNNNNNNNNNNNNNNNNNNNNNNNNNNNNNNNNNNNNNNNNNNNNNNNNNNNNNNNNNNNNNNNNNNNNNNNNNNNNNNNNNNNNNNNNNNNNNNNNNNNNNNNNNNNNNNNNNNNNNNNNNNNNNNNNNNNNNNNNNNNNNNNNNNNNNNNNNNNNNNNNNNNNNNNNNNNNNNNNNNNNNNNNNNNNNNNNNNNNNNNNNNNNNNNNNNNNNNNNNNNNNNNNNNNNNNNNNNNNNNNNNNNNNNNNNNNNNNNNNNNNNNNNNNNNNNNNNNNNNNNNNNNNNNNNNNNNNNNNNNNNNNNNNNNNNNNNNNNNNNNNNNNNNNNNNNNNNNNNNNNNNNNNNNNNNNNNNNNNNNNNNNNNNNNNNNNNNNNNNNNNNNNNNNNNNNNNNNNGAAGUUUAGGUGGAUGUUAUUAAAGUACAAACAAAUUAGUUGGAAGUUUUAAGUAUUUUGACUGGAUACAAGACUAGAAUUUGAGGUAUGUGGUGUGUCUUAUUAGCAGGUUCAUGGCAAGUCCAACUGAGAUGCAUCUGCAAACUGCGAAAAAGGUGUUAAGGUACUUGAAAGGUACUGUAGAUUUGGGAGUUUUUUAUCAGAAGGAGGGUAAUGGUGAACUAAUGGCAUAUACAGACAGUGACUAUGCAGGGGAUGUGGAUGAUAGGAAAAGUACUUCUGGCUAUGUGUUUUUGCUCAGUGAAGGAGUUGUGGCAUGGUCUUCUAAAAAGCAGCCUAUGGUUACUUUGUCUACUACUGAAGCAGAGUUUGUGGCAACUGCUUCUUAUGCUUGUCAAGGAGUAUGGAUGAGGAGAGUAUUGGAGAAGCUUGGUCAUUCUCAAGGAAAGGGCACUACCGUGUUAUGUGACAAUAGUUCUACUAUAAAGCUGUCCAAAAAUCCAGUAAUGCAUGGACGCAACAAGCACAUUGAUGUAAGGUUUCAUUUCUUGCGUGAUUUGACUAGAGAGAGAGUUGUUGAGUUAAAGCACUGUGGCACACAAGAACAAGUUGCAAACAUUAUGACAAAACCACUCAAGUUGGAUGUGUUUUUAAAGUUGUGUGAGUUACUGGGUGUGAGUGUGGUACCAAGAGUCAACUGAAUGCAUUAUUGCAAUCAGUUUAGGGGAGGAAUUGUUGGGAUGUUCAGUUAAAGUAGUCAAAGUUGUUAGAAUUUCAUUCUGUUAAUAGUUCCUAUUUUUUGGGACAUGUUGGUAGGAUUUGACUAUUUCCUUAGCCAUUUACCACGUUCUUACGUGGGCUGUUUGUUUCCUUUUUAAUCUCUUUUGUAAGGCUUAUAUAAGCCCAUAGCUUGUUUUGAAUUGAAUAAGACUCAUUCUCAUAUUGUGAGUGAAUUGCAUUAUGUCUACAGUUUACAACAUUUUCUUGGUAUUUUCCAAAAACCAAGUAAAAACUUAGGCUAUGUUUGUUUCUUGAAAAGUAUUAAGGAAUGAAAACAAAUAUAAGGAAAAUAAUUUUCUUAUAUUUGGUUUCAACAUGUAAAAUACGAAAAAAAAAAAAUAUAAUUAAAAUUAAUUAAAAUUUUGUAUAUUUUUAAAUUAUUUAAUUUUUAUAAUAAAGAGAAAAAAAUAAGUAAAGUGAGUUUGAAAUAAUACAUAAAAUAAUUUAUUGAUUUUAAAUUUAUUUUUUAUUUUUAUUCUCUUUUUCUUUCCUUCUACUUUUCUUCUCUACUUUCUUUUUCUCACAUUUUUUGAGAACCCAACAUAGCCUUAAUAAAAGAAAAUUCAUCCAAAUAUUACAUCUUCACCACUAAUGAUCUUUUACCAUGGUACAAGUAUAGUUUAAAAAAAAAAAUUAUUCAACAAAAGAUUAUAAAUGUAAUUUUAAGUGAUUAGUUUUCUUAUAUGAAAUAAAAUGUGUUUUAAUCUUUUUGGGUUGAAAUAUUUAAAGAUGAUAUAUUUAAAUAUAAGAUAUUCUCCAAAAUAAUACACUAAAAUUAAAUUGGAGAGAAGAAAUUGAAGGAAGCUUUUUUUUUUCCCCCCUCUAAAGGAGAUCUUAUAAGUUACACAAUAUUUUAAAAAAUGGACUCAAAUAACAAAAUUCUUGAUUUUUUUAUGAUUCACUCAUUAACCAUGACUUAAUAAUAAAUAAAUAAAUUUCUCAAAAUAUCCCUAAAUUUAAAAGAUAAUUCCAAAAUUAAACCAAUCUCACUACUAAUUAAUUUAUAAAUUGCCUUCAAAAUUUCCAAAAUUCAUGUGGUAUAUUUUAUUGAUUACUCCUGUCAUUAGAUAUUUACCUUACUAUUUUCUAUCUUUGAAAAUCCCAACUAUGUUCAUUCAGGCCUUCUAAUGAUACCCAUUAUCAAUAUCAUUGUUGGGUGUGGAAUUCGAACCACUUAGCAACUCCAUCAAGCAAAGUGCUAAUGUGCUUGAAGAGACGAUCCUCCUACAACAAAGAAGGGUAAGGUGGUAGACUCAGUCUCCCCCUUUGAAGGUCAAGUUGGUUCUAAGAGAAGGAUAAAAUGUUAGGAGGCAUCAAGUGAAUAGGAUUAGGAUGAAUGUCAAGAAUGGUGAUGGCUCCGGAGGAUUAAUAAUUUGGAGUGGUGUACUUAGUCUGGGAAUGAAACAAUGUAUCUUGCAGGCUCCCAUGCCACUCCUUUUAAAAGACAUUUCUCCUACCAAGGUUACCAUUACCAUGAUUUGGAUAGGUGCCAACCAUGGUUAAAGGAUCAGUCAGGUCAUAUUAUGCCCAUGCUACUUGUCUAGUCUUGUACAGCGCAAUAGGCAGCAGAUGAUUAAGGAAUGCUGGGAGGGCGAUAAUGUUGGAUGAGCUGUGGUAGGCACCUACAAUACUUUCUUGUCAUGAUAUGGGACCUGCUUUGUUAGAGCUCAAAUAUUUGCUCAGAAGGUACUUAAACAAUAUGAUUUAUGUAAUACAAAAGGCUCAAAUCACCCAACUUAACUGAAAUGGUGAUAGCAGCUCAACUAUAGACCAAACAUCUAUUUUGAACUUGAUUUUAAACAAAAAUAUGAAAGUAUGCGAAGUAAAAAAGAAGUCACUUCAACUAAGAUAGAGAAAGAGGAUUAAUCAUUCAAAGAAGGAGAUUUAAGACUUGUAAAGAUGAUGAGAGUCUUAAGUAAGGGUAGAAAGAGAAUGGCAUGAACAUGAGAGAUGAGUGAUGAAGUUUAUGAAAAAAGUUAGAGAGCAAACAAUCAUGGGGGAGAAGGUUUGAAGUCUCAUUUUAAAGUUCACGUGGAAAUUGAAACUCAACCAAUUUGAAGAAAUCAGCCUUGACUUUGAACUAAAUGUUAAGCCAUUUUCCGUGGCUUUUUAGUUAUUAUUGAUUAUGUUUCAAAGCUUGAGAAGUUAGGAAUCUAAAGCUUCAAAUGAAGUUCAAAUGAAAGAGUUAUGGCUAUUUGAAGAGGAGUUGUGCAGGAUGCACUAUUCUAAUAUGAGAAUUUUGAUCCAUUCUAAUUUUGAAUUGAAGAGGAACUAGAGGAGCAAAAUACACCAAAUUGAAGAAGUGGAGUUCAAAAUCACCUUAGAUUUUGAACUCAAUUUGAACUAAGCAUGAUGAAACCAAAGAUUCAUAAAAGCUAAGCUUGAAAUCCAUAUAAAUUUUGAACUAGAAUAUGGAUUUGGAACUACUAUAACACUAGCAUUAUUCUAGUUAGAAAAUCUCGAACUUGAGAAUUUGGAUGAACUCAGUUUUCCAACUUUGAACAUGCACUUCUAAGCUUCUAAACUUCAAUGUUUGGGCUUUCCAAGCACCAAUGAAGGCCGCAAAGAGUCUAAAUAGUUCAAGAGUUGAAGAUCAUUUUAAACUAGAUUUUGAACCACUAUAGUGUCAACACUAUUUCAGUUCAAAAUUUUCGAUUUUUCGAAUUUGAAACUAAACUCAGCUUCCCAACUCUGAACCAUGCAUUUCUACGUUCCUAAACUUUGAUUUUUGGGCUUCCCAACCACCAACCAGGCCCUAGAAUAGCCCAAAUGAUUCAAGAUUUAAAGAUAUGGUGUUCUUUAUGAGAAUUCCAUGUAAUUUUUGGAUGAUUUGACCAAUAUGGCUAUGCCAUGUGACUAAUUUUAGUUUCAAAAAUUAAAACUCAAUUGUUUUUAGGUUUAAAGAGUGAGAGAUUUCAUUUUUGAGAAUAGAGAGACUAUGCAGGAGAUUACUUUGAAAUUUUUAUGUUUGUUUUUCUUUAUGCAUUUAACUUUAUCAUUGUUUCUAGUUACUUUUGAUUAUUAUAUUAAUGUCUUUCUAUUCUUCUAUGGAUUAUGUGAGUGAAAAGACCUCCAUGAGAAGCUAAAAGCUAUAUUAGGGUGUAAAACAUGAAGACUUAGGGUAAAAUUAAACUUACAAGGAACAAUGGAUAAAUGGAUAAAUAAUGGAUUUGACAAUUGUUUAAGGCAUAAAUUAUAAGAUAAAAUUUCUCCCUAAUGUUGGUUUGAAUGAGGAGAUAUUACAAUAGUCUACUAUCAAAUCCUAGAGAUUCUUGGUAACCCUUAAUCCCUAGUAAUCAUGGUUAUCUCUCUCAAUACCUACCCUAAGACAAAUCUAUAAGAGUAGCGUGGACUAAAAAGUCAAGACUUGAACUUGAAUUAUUUUUCAUUCAUCAUAUGGUAAUUAGGAAUUUGGAUUAAAAAGGAAUAACUAGGAUUUGGAUACAACUCUCAAUUAUAGAACUUAAGUUAAUCUCGAUUGACUAAAGAUCUUAAGAUCACACAUGAACUAAAAAGCCUUUGUUUGCUUUGAUUUCUAUUCUCAAAGUUGGAUUAUGUAUCCCUAUAUUGAAUUAAUUGAAGUAGAAUUUUGUAGUCAUUUUGUUAGUCAAUUAGAUUUGUUGUCAUUAUUCUUAAGUCACUAAAAUCAAUCCACUUGAUAUUUUCACUUUAGAUUUAGGUCAAAGUAAUAAUUUAACCUUGUAUUAACAACUUUCAUAGGCUAAUCCCUAAGGAUGAUACUAAGUACAACAAAAGUUGUAAUAACCUUUUUAUGGUUUUCCUUUGUCAAAGUUGCUACAUAUAAAAAGGUCUAAUAUUUUGGGUGUAAUAGAGAAACAUGCAUUGGAAUAUUUUGGAUAAAUUUAGUCUAAGUCUUGAGGGUGUAUGCAUCUAAUCUUCUUAAGGAUCUAGAUCUAAGCAUAAUGGAAGUAUUUAUAAUCAAAAUUUUAGAACUAAGGGUUUAAAAACAGUAUCUUUGAUUGAAAGUCAAACAUCCUCCACCUAAUGGCUUUCUCUUGAAAGUUGGUACUAGAGAAGGGUAGACUUUUUUCUCUUAAAGAAUGGCGGCUAGGUUCUUUCUAUCUUUUUCUUUGAAAAAUAAUAACGAACUAAAACAUCUAACCCUAAACCUUUAAAAGAUUUAUAUAGACUUCCUUGUUAGCUUAAAUAACUUGAACUCAAGUUUGUGACCUACUAACCAUUGCAUGAAGGUUCCCCAUGAACUUGUAAAUGUAAUCUAAUAAGGUAGAAACUAUCAACCUCUCAAGAUUACUUGUAAAUCCUUGAGCCUCAAAUUCUUUUAUUACGUAAUCAACUUACAUAUUCUAACUUUUAAGGAGCAUAUAUCAAAUUUUAUUAAAGGAAUCCUUGUAACUAUAGAUUUCAUGAUCAUAAGUCCUUAAGGAUUACCUAAGAAGACACAUUGUCUAAUACCCAUGAGGUACCAUGGUAUCUAUCUUUAAAAUACUUCUUGUCAUCUACCUUAAGGUCUUAAUCCAUAAAGACUAUAUAACAAUUUAAGGGUCACUAAAGAUCUCAACAUUAGCUCAAUAUUCUUUCAAAGUUGAGAGUUCAUGCAACAAGUAAUUUGGUAAAAUCAUGACUAUCCAAAAAUAAUAUUAUAAUUUACCAUAAAUCCUACCCAAUGUGUAACCACACAUACUAAUAUAUUCAUCAUGAGAAACUUAUUUUAAUGAUCAUGACAAGUCAUUCUUUUAAUUAGAAGGUAAUACACUAUAGUCUUAAACGGAUUGUCUAAGUUCAUGAACUAGUUGUGAACUAAUAAAAUUACAAGGAACUCAUGCUUUGGAUCUUCAAUACAACUUCUAAUGGAUUUAAGUUAUAUAUAAUGUAAAAGAUGCAGACCUAAAUGCUUAAAUAAACAAUAAUCCAUAAAUAGGAUGGUAAAAUGAAUUUGAAAUCAUAAUAUUAAUGAAAUUAUAUCUUAUUAUAUCAUGUCAUGCUUUUAAAGAUUUUGUCUUAACAAUACAAUCACUAUUCAGCCAAUAAUUAAGGCUAAUCUAGGGGAAGAUUGGCCCUCCCAGAAGGAAUUAAAUGCUUACUAGUGCUUGGUCUUCACUAUACCUCUCGAUUAGGUUUUGUAACUAAGAAAGUCGCCUAAUAAGUGUUGCUAGCUAGUUUGUUAGCCAUGAUUAUGUUAGGCCAAUGCUAGCCAAGUCAUCUAGGUUAGGAGGCCCUAAGAUCUAGCUAUUUUGGUAAGGUGCCUCCAAUUAGGUUGCAACUCUUGACAAGUUGGUGGUUUAGAGCAACCAAAGUACAACGUGAAUUAAGACAUAGGGGUGAAAUUGGGGCAAUUUGGUCAUCAACCACAUACUUGCAAGCUUAGAGAUUACUUUAUUACUCAAAUUAGGUUUGAGUUGCAUUUUUUCAACUUAAACUCAAUUUGAGUUGGGCUCAGGGUUAUGUAAUCUGAGUCUAACUCAAAUCAGAUUUAAAAUCUUUAUAAUAUUUAAAAUAUAUAUUAUUUGUAAAAUUAAAAAAAAUCAAUUUUUUAUUUUUAUAUGGAAAUGUUUUAUCAUUUAUUAUUUAAUUUUAAUUUUAAAAGGAAGAAGUGUCAAAUUAUUAUAUUAUUUACCAUUUAUUUUUCUAAAAAUAAAUAUGGAUUUCUUUUUCCAUUUUAUUUUUAUCUGGAAAUGUGUUAUGAUUUAUUACUUAAUUUUUCGUAAAAUUUUAUAAAAAUACAGUUUGAAAAGGAUAGUAUUUGUGAGUUCAACCGACUCAAUCUUAUCUAAAUUUAACCAUAAACCCAAGCUUAAUUUGAGCUUGGAAAAAUAGGUUGGAUUAGGUUUGGGCUCGCACCUUAGGUUUGUGGUAGGCUUGGAUUUGACUUAGGCUUAAGUUGAGGGUUUUUCAAUUCAAGCUGGACUUUAGUUAAUUGAAAGCUUCACCCAUCCUAUUAUAAAACCCAACCCUACUAUCUCUAACCAAGUACUAAUCUAUUUUCAUUUAAGGUACUUCGAUUGGUUGAGUUGAUUAGAUUGCAUGGAACAAACUUGGUUAAGAUAACAUUAGUUUAAAAUUUUAAAUCCUUCUAUUUGUAUUAAAAUUUAACUAGCAAGGAACAUAAUAUUUAAUAGUAAUAAUAAUAAAUUUAUCUAUCUUUCUAAAAAUAAAAUAAUACAUAAUAUAAUUAUAAUUUUUCGUUUUUCUUUUAAAUUAUUUUAAAAACGAAUAUUAUUAUACACAAUAAUAUAAAUUAUAAAUAUUCUAAAAAAUUUAAAUCAAACCCUUAGGGUCAAAGCCCAACUCAAACUAAGUUUGGGUUAAGAAAACUAAAUCCAAGCCCAAAACAAAUAUAAAAAAAUAGAAAUUAAAUCAUAUUGAUUUCAAGUUGGGUCUAUCCAUUCAAAUUACAUCCUUUUCAACUUUCGUUGAUAGCAUCUUGUCACAAGAGGCACAUUUACCACAUAUAAAUACAUAACGUACCCAAAGAAUAAUUAUGUUAGAGCAGUAUAUGAGUACUAUUUUCGGUGACUUCCUGGCAAGUCCUUUUGAUCUUUACUCCACUUUAUGUCAAUUGGGUGUCUACGGAUUCACCCACCACCUCCAUUUUAAAAAGGGUAGAAAGUUUUGAAACCAUUCAUUUAGAGGUGAAAGAACCAUGGCCCAUGAAACAUGCUAUUGAUGAAUUUUUUAUUAAAAAUUCAAUAUUAUUGUUUUAAAAGUGUAUCCCAAUAACUAUCUAUCUUCAAAAUAAAAUUUAGGGAAAAAUAUAUUUCCAUAAACUCAUAUAAAAAUAAAUCAUAAAAUAGGAACUAAAUUUUACUUUUGACCAUUCAGAUACUACCUUUUAAUGAUACGAGUAUUGUCUUUGACCAUCUUACAUAUUAUAACAUCUUUGAUAAUUCAGGUAUUACCUUUUAAUGAUGUGGAUAUUGUCUUUGACCAUCUUAUAUAAAUCUUUAAUUAGUGAGUAUAUAAAAUAAGACUUAAAUUAUUUCUAAAUAAUUCUUAUUUAUAAUAAUUUUUUUUUUAUGUAAGUGCAUAUAAACAUACUUUUCCCUAAAAUUUGGGUUAUAAAAUGAAACAUUACUUAGAAUUGUAUUUUUUAUAAUUAUAAGAGGUUGAUGUAUACUUGAUUAAUUAGGGCCAUUCCCAUUCCAAUUUUUACUUUGGUUUCAUCUAAUGAAUGGGAUUUUGUCUUUGAAUGAUUCCAUUGAAGCUUCAUUGAAGCCACUCAAUUGUAUAGGAGAAACCACCGUCCACUUUGAGAGGACCACCCACAACAUAUUCCACAAGAAAAGGGUGUGUCCCUUCAACAAGGUAAUCAGACCUUUUCUUUUGGGGUCUUCACCUCUUUUCUCUCCGAUGGGACCAGAGUGAAACUUGACUUUUUCUCAGCAUCAUCCAAAAAUUAAUGCCUUUUUUCCCCUUUUUCAAAAGUGGGUUUUUUUCUUUUUUAUCUGAAUUUAUAAAAAUAAAUAAAUAAAAUAAAAUAAAGGGGAGUGGGGGAAGGGGGGGAUCAUGGGUAUGUUAGUCAACUCAGAUUGCAAGUGAAAGGGAUUGGGUGGCCAUGUUGUUGGGAUCAACAAAAGCCUCCAAACUCCAAUGUGGACCCUCUUUUUCUUUCUUUUCUUUUAUUUAUUUAUUUAUUUAAUUUAUAUUUUGGUACUGUCCUCUAUGUAUGUGUGAUCCUUUUCCGUGAAGAUUGGACAGAUACCUAGAAUAGCAUGCUUUGAAGAUAAUAAUGAAGGCAUAUAACCACCUGUCACCAACUAGCAUUUAUAUGAUAGAGGCAAGUGGGUACUUUGUGGUUUGCUUUUAUGAUUUCAUUUCAACUGCCCCCUAAUCUAAACAACCUCAACAGUCAACAUUACCUUUAUUUGAUCCAAUAAAUCUUAUUAUUUUCUUGACAUAUAUAUAGAGGUGAUUCAUCAUUCUUGAUUUAUACAUUGAUUGGAUUAUGAAAUGAAAGCAUUAGAGACAACUUGGACAACACGUCACAUUGUGAUAGGUAACCACCAAGUAUAUAAUUGAAAAUUUGGCCAAUGGUAACCAUGGUCAUAAAUUUUUUUAUUUUCUAAACCUUUUUCCAAAAACCACAAAAGUGACAAAAAAAAAAAAUAUAUGUAAUAUUAUUGGCAAGACAUUUCAGUAUUUUCGAUAUAAUUUUUUGUAUAGAUAUAUAUUAAGGUAAACGAACAAUAAGAUCGAAUCUGAUAAUAUAUCUAAUAUACGUGUUAUAACUACAUAACUAUAGUAAGAUGAGCGAUUAUUCCUCCAAAAUGAAAUGAUUAAAAUAUUUUCAUUUGUACUUUUCCAAUUAGUUCAUAAUGGUCGGACCGGAUUCCAAGGCCAUAAAACUUGUUACAUGACAAAAAACGUUAAAAUUCAAAGGAAAUCCAUCAUAAUAGAAAUAAAAGAAUUUAAUAGGUUUUAGACAAAUUCGAAGAAAGGUGAUUAUAAAAUCUACCUCACCAUAAAGUUAAAUCUUAUUCCAAUGGGUUGGCAUAAAAAAUUAUAGGGCAUGUGACAAGGGGGCAUGGGCAUAAAUAUAAAAAUAAUAUAUAGUAUUAAGUAUUAUUGGGCACAUUGUCUCACUCAUCAUAAGUUUGUUAAAAGUAGCAUGGUGACAUUGUCCAACACCGACACAAACAAAGGCCAAAUGUAUAUAGACAACAUUGUCCCAUCUCAUUCAACUUGUCUCCUACGUUACCAGCUGUAUGGAAUUGAAAUCAUUUAUUGUACCCAUUUUUCUCUUUUAACUCGUGAUUCUUCUUUACAAUAUUUAUAAAAAUUUUACAAGAUUGAUGAAUUUUAUCUCAUUUACUUUGGCUUCAUUUGGUUACACUUUAAAAUUAUUUUUAAUUUUUAUUUAUAAAAUUAAUUUAAAAAAAUCGUAUAAAUUAUUCCUUAUCUUUCAUAUACUACCUUCAAACUUACGACAUAUUGAAGAAUAUCUUUUCCAACAAGAAGCCAACAACUUCACAAUCUUUUAUUAAAGGAGAGUUUGAUACAUUUUUAGUCAACCAAUUUUUCUAAAUUUUAAAUUAUUAAAUUUUUUUUUAUAUAAAUAUACAUAAAAAUGGAAUGAUUCAUCAAUCUCUAAUCUUCGACCAUCCUCAACCCCCUAAAUUGGGAAACGGGUAUUUUACAAAUAAAGAUAAUUACUUCGCACCUAACUAUCUUUUGGAAUAAAAAAUGGUUUGUUUUCUUAUUAUGCCUUUUAAAAGAAGAUAGAAUAUAAAUAUUUUCAUAUUUAAUAAUAAAAAUAUUAGUGUAUAAAAAUUGCAUGUUAAUUAUAAGAAAAUUUCUACUCUUUAUGGCAAAAAAAUUAAUUAUGUAUUCAAAAUAGAAUUUUAUAAUUGGAAGAAGAAAAUUGAUUUAUAAAAUAACUUUUUAUGAUAAAUUACAUGGGAAUCUUAUUUAAAAAUGUUUUUUAUUUUCCAUAUAAAACAAAAAAAAAGAUAUAUAUAUAUAUAUAUAUAUUCAUUCAACAAUUUGGUGGUUGAUGACUAGGGGAAGAACACAUUCAUGGGCCCGGCCCACUUUUGGUCCAAUUUAAUUAACUUCUCUAUCAUCCUUUCUCAAUGGCAUCUUGAGUUUGAUGUCACAUGGAAAUCUUUCAAAAUUCAAGUGUUGUGGCCCCUGUUUGGAUGUAAGGAAAAAUAAAAGAGAAAAUAGAAGAAAAUAUCAAAUUUUCUUCAAAUUAUCCCUUUUUUUAACUUAAUUUCAAUAUUUUAUUUUCCUUUUUCUUGUUCUUCCCAAAAUUCAAAUAACUUUAAGAUGAUGAUGAUCCAUGAUAAACGAUCUUAUUAAAUCUUUGUGAGUAUUUUACAUAACAGUGCUUUAUUUUUCUUAACACCAUACAAUUCCAUAACUCAAAAAGAAUUUUUUUUAAAAUUGAAACGUUUCUUAAGUUUGUUUUGUUAAUAAAUGUAAUGACAAAGCAAGAUCAAAACAAAUAUUUUGAAACUGCAAAUACUUUGAAAUAAGAACUAACAAAUAUAUCAACUCUAGUUUUUUCUUUAAGCUAUGAUUAGAGUAUCUUGUAAUGAUUUGAGUAUGUUGUAAUGAUUUGAUAUGGAAAAAGAAAUUGAAUUUUAAAAAUCAUAAAGAUCGGGAAAAGAAAAUAAGCAUUUAGAUGAUAGAUGCAAACAAAUGGGCCUAUUAAUAGGUGAGGCGUCAUCAUCGCAAAUCAAUUAAAUCAAUUUUCAAAAUAUGAAAUAGGCCAAGGAGCAUACACAAUUCCCAAUUAAUAUGAGCCAUCCAUUGAUCAACUAUUUGAUCAAGAGAUUGCAAUUGAUGUGAUUCAUCAAUUAGCGUCAAUCCUUCCUCGACUAUUAUGAGGUCCAAUUGAUUUGACGUAGAAUCACAUGCUAACAAGAUUGAUCAAUAUUAUCAUGUCAAGUUUAUCGACAUAUUUAAAGAAGCAAUGAACGUGGAACGAAAAAGUAUGUUCAACACCGACCAAACAAUACUUGGUUUAAUAAACUUGAGAAACAUGUGUAAGACUACAUCACAAAUUGGUCGACAAAGACUAAUGCAAUUAAAGGCCAUUUCAUUUGCAUAAUUAUCGAGCUAGGGUUUGAUUUUCAACCACAAAAAUACACUGGGUCCCAUUAGUGGUGACCUAAUAUCGGUACAUUUGUACAAAGAGUUGUCACUUUCUCCUUGUUGAUUAUGGCAAAUAUUUCCUCCAUGGAUCGUGACCUUCAAGCCUAUUUUUCACUGCUAAGGGGGGAGUGCAAAACUUACAAAAAGUGAAAGAAGGUUAGAAACAUAGUACAUGGUCCACGGCUCUUGGUGUUUAUAGGAAUUAUUGGAAUGGAAUCACUUUUGGUAUUGAAUAUUUUAACCAAUGCUCUCUUUCCAACCCAAUCCAUGGCCAUGAGAAUCCACAAAGAAAAUCUUUCGCCACUGCAUAUAUAUGAGUGGGAAUUUUAAGGAGUAUCGAAGUGUUGGAAUAGUUUAUUGAUGUCAAACACUAAGCCACCACUCAAAAAAGCUAAACCACUAAAAUUGUUGAUGUUUGUUUGGUUAAGUGGGGCUACAUGGAUUAAUUUCAAAUCCAUCUCUGGAGAAGAUGGGGGGAUUUGGGUUUGCAAUCACGAUCUUCAAGACCCCAUUAAUGGAAUGAGUUGAAGUCUUGAGCACAUGGGUUUUGAGCUAGUGGGAGAGGCUGAUGUUUACACUUCAAGGCCAAUCUGUCGAAAAACCCUUGAAAAGAAUGGUUGGAAUAGCUCCUUUCUUUUCUUUUCUUCUCUUGUUUUCUUUUGGUUUCUUUUUCCAAUGCCACAUCUAUCUCUAGGGUAGUGGGGGGGGGGGGGGGGGGGGGUUAUUUUUAAAGAUUCAAAAAUGCAAUAAAUAUGUCUUCUAUCUUUAGCUUCACUACUCAUCACACCAAAUCCAUCCAUGUAAAGUAGAGUCAUGGCAGAGUCAUUGAAAUUCCCACAAAAAGGAAAUUGAUGUCUAGGAGAUAUGAUUUCUAGGUGAAUGGUCUAUGCUCUCUUUCUCUCUCUUUCUUUUGGGGGUUGUGGAUUCUUAUCUUGACCCACCACGCUUCUCCUUUCUAAAAGACAAUCCAAUUACCCUUUCAUAUAAGAGAGAGCAUAUACCAUUAGUUCUUCCUCAACUUCAAUCAAUUAGAUCUUCAUAUGUAUUAUAAUUCAUCACACCUAACAAUAUUUGAUUAUUCUCCUUUACAUAUAUAUUUUUGUUGAUUCGUCUUAGUAUUAAUACAACCCUAAGUUAUCACGUCAAUUCUUGUUGGUCACUUGUGACAUGAAAGGAGGUGGGGUCAUCUUGCGAUGGGGAAUGUGUAAGGAGAGAACAAAGGAAGAAACCAAAUCAAUUCUAACACGAUGGAGUAGUACAUGGGUGCCCCUUUUCACAAGGGAGAAGAAAGUUAGGGUUCCCAUCAAGGCCCCAUGCCUAUUGAUUAAUUGGAUCCAUAUUCUAUGCUUUGUAGUUUGUACUGUCCAUUCCUCUACCCCACAUCAACUGCAAAAUGGAAUAUGGAUUAUAUCACCAAAGUGGACAACUUAUGUGACACAUUUUUAUCUACAUAUGCUAGACCUCUCUUAAGAUAAAUAAAAUAAAAGCACGAGGAUAGGCCUAAAUAAUUGAAGGUUUUCUUUUACUUUUGGUUCACGAGAAAAUGCCAUUGGGUCUAGUGUCAUUGUCCUCAUCGUCAGCAUUUCCUUGGUCUAGUGCAGGACGAUGAGUUCAAGCAUGUCUUCCUUUAUUAAUUUGUCUAUCCAUAUGCACCCGAGGAGAAGAAAAAAAAAAUAUAAAGGAAGAAGACAAAGAAGAUGGAAAAAAGAGGAGGGCCCAUAUGAAAUGGAUCUAUGAUUUUAUGGGAAGGAGACCAAAGCAAAGGAGAUAGAUUUUAUUUAUUCACACAUCUCUUUCUUGUAUUCAAUCAAGGGAGGGAGACAUGGAGAGGUUGGUUACAUAUCUUUUUUGCUUUAAUAAAUGUUAGUUUUGGUGGUGAUAUGGGGAAAGGGUUGGGACUCCAAUGUGCAAUGCACCAUCCAACUAAAACAUCCUCAUUUCCACAAAUUACUACUUAAUUGAUUCUCUCCUUGGACAAUCCCAAUUAUCUCCAUUGAUACCAUUUCUUAAACUUUAUCAUUAGAAUAAAAAAAAAAUAACAUCAUGUGUUGUAAGGUCACAAUCGAAUCAAUCGAUAUGGGACCCACAACAUAAGUAUACUAAUUGACCAGUCGAUGAUGCUCCAUCGGUGUAAUCCACCAUUAACCAAUUAUUUUGGAAGGUAAUCAAAUCACGAUUUCUAAUUUUUUAUAAUAAUAUAACAAGAUAGAAUCCUUCAAUGAGAUCAUGUUAGGUUUUGCUUUGGCUAGAAAACAUUUCCCUUUCUUAAUCAAAUUCAAAGAAAAUAAUGUAUCCUAUAUGUCCUUAGUUCAAAUCCUAUAACAGCAAUAAUACACCUAAAAUUACCCAUUACCAAUAUUUUGAUUGGUUAACUUUCUUAUGCUUAAAGACCAAAAUAAAUUAUGGGUCCAACAACUAACUUGGUGAUCAAGGAUUUUCAAAAAUAGUUUUCAAACCUCUGUGCAACACAAAUUAGAGAAGGUCUUAGAAGGCAUUGAGAGUUUUUACUUGUCAAGGCAAUAAAAUUAUAUUAUUGCACAAACAUUCACACAAUACCAAAAAAAUAUAAAUAUAUUCAUAUAUUCAUAUAUUUUUAAUAUAAUUUUUAGCAUUCAUAUAUUUUUGUAAAAACUCACACCCAAGUGCGUAAAUAUUGUCUGUUUUAAGCUCAAAUGAGUUUUCAUAACUUUAAAACGCAUCUAUAUAAUUAAGAAAAACUUAUACUUAUAUAGUAUCAGAAACUUUGUUUUAUAUCCGAUGUGAGAUACCAUACCUACAAUAUAUAUAAUUAUAUAAGUGAUAUGAGUUUUUUUUUUCAUCUAUUAAAAAAAACAUUUAAUUGAUAAUGAAAAUACAUUAUUACUAUUAUAAUUUACCCUCAAAUAAUUAUAAAUGAUAUGGUCUUUGAAUUUUACUGAAAAACUUAGAAAUAUAAAUCAAAGAUGGACAUGGAACAUUGCAUAUUGAUUUGAAUGAAAAAUUGAAAUUUAUUGAUCAAAUUAAUAUAAUGUCAAAUCCAAGGAAGGUCAACUUAUAGGGUAGGGAUAUGAGAUGACUUGAGUGAAUGCAUUAUUGUGUAUGUGUGAUUUGGAUGAUACUUACCAAAAAGACCAUAAUUAUGAAGCAUAUUAAGUUGGAAAAUGAAAUAAACCUAACAACACAUAGAAAAGUGGAAAAAUAAAGGAAAUUAUGACAAGUCAAAGUAGAGAAAUAAAGGAAAUUAUGACAGCCAAAUAGGAGUUUUGGAGUGGAAUCCUUCAAAUUUCAAGCUUGGAGUUGGAACAAAAGUUGUUCUAAGGUAGGUAAUUGGAACAUUCUUAGGAAAAUUUGACGGAGAAGAAAGAAAAUCAAUUCAAUAUCUAGAAAAUGCAACCAUUUAUUUGAAUAGGCUUUAAUUGAUUAUUGACAAAAAAAAAAUAGGGAAAAAAAUUAAUAAAGCAAAUACAAAUUUUGAUCUAGGUUGUUUUUUAAACUAUUUUUCAUGUUUCUAAACUAUAUAGAAUUGAAAAUGAAGAAUUUUAAAAUUUAUAAAUUUUCUUUGAAAUUUCAUUUUAGUGUCCUUCCAUAUUAUUGUUAUUACAAUUAACUAACAAAAAAUGAACUUUAUUUUUUAAUUUUUCUAUUUUUUGUGAUUGUAUGAUAUAUUUUCUUGAAAAGUUUGUAUUUAAACUUAUUUAUUUACAAAUCAGAAAUUGAUCGCGUCUAUCAACUCGCUUUACAUUCGAAAUGUUAUAGGUGCUUCGAUAAAUGCAUUAUAAGGUUAAGGUAUACGAAUAUUUUAACUCAAUGACUAGAAAAAAUUAUUAAUUUUCUUUUUAAUAUAAAUGUUGUUCCUUAUUGUGAAGGCAAAUGUUAUCAAAAUUCACUCAUUAAAAUUACAAAAUCAAGAGAAAAAAAUUUCUCAUCUCAAAAAAUGAAAAAGUGGGAGAAAGGUAGAAAAAUAUACCAUUCAAAUAAAAAUUUAAAAAGGAAAAAAAAAGGUUGGAAUCCAAAAGUGACCCAAAUCAUCCAAAUGGGUGUAGUACCAACAUGAUCAUGUGAGUCUCAAGGACAAAUAUAGCAAAAACCAAGUCCUCUUGUACUCAUUCGAGGACAAUGUCAUAUGUGGUUGCUUCUCAAUUACCAUCAUCAUUCCUCCCACACUUACACAAUUAAUAAUAUAUUGAAAAAGAAAGCCCAAAUAGUACAACAUCUCCAUUAUCAUUUCUUUUUCCAUCUAUAAUGUUCCCUCACUUUUAUAAUGAGAUUCCUAGGCAAAAACCCCUUUUCCUUUCUUCACUCAUUUCACCCCACUCUUUCAAAUUUUUUUUUUUUUUUAAAAAAAAAUACUUUAAAUGAACCAUUAUGGGUUAGUGAAUAUCAAUGACUCUCUCCAACAAUAAUUAAUAAAUUCUUUUAUUAUAAAAUUCAGCACUAAAACAACUAUCAAUAAAAUUUUAAAAAAAUAAUAGUUACUUGAGUUGAAAUUCUCAUCUAUGAUGAAAAAAGGGUGGGUUUUUUUUUUUUUUUUUUUUUUUUUGUGGGGGGGUGGGUUGGGGGGAGAAAAAUGGUAAAAUAAAAAGGGGGAAAAGAAGAAAGGCAAGAAAGUGGAAUCAGAUUCACAUGUUUGAAGGGCAUGCAGGGUGAUAAAGGGACAGAUGGUCCUAAUCUAGAGGGACCCACAAAAGAGACCCAAAGAUCCUUACUACAACAACAACUACAAAUCUCAAUUAUUUUUGUGUUGUCCUUUGUUACCUCCUCCUCAUUAAAUGCUAACUUUGGCUUUAGUGCCCCUCCACUUGCCCCUUCCAACUUUACUAUUUUAAACAAUAAUUCAACAUUUUUUAUUUUUAAAUUCUUUAUUACGGGUGUUGAAUCUUGAAUGGGAAUUGAAGUUGACUUCAAUAUUUCAUUUCAUUUCAUUUUAGAAUUAUUAUUAUUAUUAUUAUUAGUAUUGGUGGGGGUUGAUUUCAAGGCCACUUAAAUCAACUCAUUCAAAAUGGUACCAUCUAGUCUUGGACCCAACAAUGCUGUGAUUUAUUUCUUUCAACCCUUUUCAAAAAUAUAUCAACACAUCUUCCAAUUGAAUAUUGAAAUUGAUUUUUAAAAUAAUAUUAAAUAUUUACUAGUCAAUAGUAUUAUAUAUAUUUUUUUCUUCUGAAGAUUCUAGAGAAAAAGCAUAAGGUCUAUCUCAAAUGGGUUUUACUUCUACUUUUCAUAGUGGAAGAAGCAAACUUGGUUAUCCUUAUUAAAUUAAAUUAAUCUAUUUUAUGUCUUAUAUCAAAGGAAAAAUAUGAAUUUUCUUAUUAAAUUAAUUUUUUUCAAAUAUAAUUGUAAUUUACAAGUUAAUAAUAUUUUUUAGAUGUGAUAUUAAAAUAAUACUACAUAUUUAUUGGUGUAAAAUUAAAAUAUAAAUUAAAUUCUUAAAAAACACUAAGAGGAAAUUUCUCAAAAUGUCUUGGAAGAUUAUAUUGUUAAAUUUUGGCUAAAUAUUUGAAAAUUGUAUCUAGGAAAAUUGAUUUUACAUUUAUUUUAUUAUUCUAGCUGCCAAAAUGAGACUCAAUCCAUGGAUUUGAGCAAGAUUCAAUGGACAAGAGAUUAGUUGCUUUCAUGGCUUUGCUACCUCUCUCCCCCUUCUAGAUUCUCCCUCUUAAUUUCAAGCAAGUUAUGAAGACCAUCCUAAAAGGUCCACAAACUCUAGAAGAAUGUGAAGUUGUACAAAAAACUUUAAAAAAAAAUAAAAAUAAAAUUAAAUUAAAAAAAAUCCCAUGGGAUGAAUCAUAUAACACAAACUCCAAAAAAUCAUGUGAAAAUGCCAGACUCCAUUUCAGGACAAAUGAAUUACCCAACUGCAUCAUCCUUUUGCAGGGUUUUGCUACCAAACAAUGAAGUCCUUCAAAAAAAUAAAUAAAAAUAAAAUGAUUAAAAUCCCAUCUUUUUUCUACUUUAAAUCAUAUUUUUCAUUUUUAAUUUACUUUAAUUAUAUUUUCAUAUUUUAAUCAAUCACAUAUGAUCACAUUUUCCAUAUCUUUAUUAUAACACUAAGAGGGUAUUGUAAUGCUUUCAUAUUAUAAUGACAUUUUCCACCCCUUUAUUAUAAUACUAAGAGGGAGGGGUGGGUUUACUUGAUUCACUGAACAAGAGGUUAAUUGAUAAGGACAAAUGACAGGACCAUUAGAGAAAAGCACAAGAACAAGGCAUUGAGAGCCAAAUUUAGCAGGGAGGGCAGAGUCCAUGAUAGAUGCCAUCAUCCUCCACUUGUCUUCACGCUCUCUCAUUUAAAAAAAAACAUGGAAGUCAUAACGUAAUGCGAAUAAUAAAAAGAAAGCCAGGUAGUGUGUGUGGAGGAGGUAGGAUUGAGAAAGUGACAAGAGGAAGAGGCAGCAGCGUGAGUCACCCUCAACCACUUCUCUCCUGUCUCACGCCUUCCUCCUUUUCAUGUGUUUUUGUUUGUUUCCUUUCAUUGUUAUUGAACUUAUCUCUUCUUUUUUUAUUUUUUUUGUAUUAUUCCAUAUUUUACGUGAUGUAAUAUUAGCGAGAUGCAUGUGACAUCGAUAAUUUUAUACUAGAAGAAGAUAAACAUUUGAAGUUUGUUUGGGGAGAGAGUAAGAUAAGUUAAAAGAAGAGAGAGAGUGAAAUACGCAAUGAUGAUGAUGAUGGCGAUGCAGGUACAAUAGACUUUAUGGUACUUGGAUUCCUUUUUGCCCGUUUUGGCGCCACUCUCGACAUUAUAUAUAUAUAUAUAAAUAAUAAAAAACCACCCAUUCUCACGUCGCUUUCUUCUUCUUUCAUCUGCGAACUGCCCAUUCACCCCACACGAGGUACCCGCAUUCGCACAGCGACAUUUACGCGAGUCCUACGUGUCGGCUUUUCCGUUUCACUGGUCAGAUUCAACCCAUUACUGAGAUAUUUUGUGAGGGAAAUUAGAAUGAAUGAACGAAUGAAUUGGAUUGGAGACAAUGAAAUGGAAAUUUAAAUUUACUUUUUUUUUUUUUUUUUUUUUGGAAUUGUAUUUUGUGAAAUAUUGUUUCUAAGAGAGGUUAACAUGCACACUGGCAUUCUUGUUAGAUUUACAGAUGGGGCAAGUGUGGAGGGUGGAGCCACAGAUUGUACACAGACAGAGGUGCCUACACGGCAGCAGUAACACCGACGCCUCCUCCUUCCGGCAGUUUCUGCACCAUCUCAUGUUCCUGUCAUCCAUUUCUCUACUCUCUUUCUCUUCAUUUUCUCUGUCGCAAUCACCGUCGCCGCCGCUUGUGCUCCCGCAGCACGACUCUGCUUCCUCCGCCCACUCCAUUUCUAUGUACUCUGGGCAGGGGCUGAUCCGGCUCUGCCGCUGCUCCGUCUUCACCUGGCUCAGAACUUGCUCCAGAUUGUUCCUCAGAGCAUUGGCGUUGGCUUCGUUGGUCUGCGCCAAGUCUCGCCAUAUCUGGUUCUCCUCGCACAGCGAUUUCACCCUCUCCUCCAGUGCCCAAUUCAAUUUCCCGAUGUUCUCGAUUUCCUCCUCUUUGGCCUUCAGUCUCUUCAUCAGAGCCUCCUCCACCGCCGCUAUUAUUCGCCUCGAAUGUCUUUUUCUCCGCUCUUCUAUCUCCAACCUCACCCUCUCCAUCUGAAAAAUAUCGAAAUAAUGAAAUUCGCCACCAAUUCACCACGACAAAACCAGAAAAUUAGAAAAUUAGAUGUACUCGUAUCCAUACAUGUUGAGAAAUGAAUCGGUCAAUCUCCAACUGCUGCUGUUGGAUCUGCAGAGAAAUGUCCUGGCCGAGAAAGGAGAAGUUUCCGGGGAAGGACAUCAUCACGGACUCAUCCCUCGCCCGCUUCCUCGCAACCGGAAGAUUAUACGUGAGGCCACUGUCUGCCUUGGCCGGAGCCGGAUCGACGAAGGCUGAACUGUAAAAAGGAACCAUCAAAUUCUCGGAAACCAGACCUCUCUGCCCAACCUGGCUUCCGUAAACGACGCCGUUUCCAUCCAGAGAGCCCAUCACUUGUCUGGAAAAUCGAAAUUUACAUCAAAAUCAAGAGAGAAAACCAAAUAGAAACGAGCAACGUAUGCAUAUAUAUUCAUCCGUGAAUGAUAAUAACAUACCUUUUGUUUGGUAUGAAUUGAGAAGGAAAGAGAUUGAUACGGCGAGCUUCAACAGCCAUGGCGAUUGCGCAUAGAAUGUGAGUUAGAGGUCUUUAAUGGGGAGAAGAAAGAGAAAUGAAGAAGAGGAAGAAGAAAAGGCAUGCAAGGGAGAGAGACAGCGGGGUGGGAAGAGGGUGUAGGGUGGGGUUUAUUUAGGGUUUGGUUGAGAGAGAAAAGAAAAUAAAUACACAUACACAUAAAUAUAUAAACAUAUAUAAAUAAACAAAAAUGCUAAACAAAAGGAGACUGAUUUUGUUUGUUUGUUUGUUUUUGGGAUUUUGUCUAAUUUAGAGAGAUUCGGUUACCGGAAACGCCCCUCAUGCUUUAAGCGACUGAGACUAGCAAUCCGCAACCAACAGAGAUCCGGUCAGUCCGUAAUUUCAGCCAAUUUCCAGGGGCUUAUUUCGGACUACGACCGCCAUGUUCUCCUCCUUCUCACUCCAAAAUAAAUAAUAAUAAAUAGAUAAAAAGUUCUGCCACAUCCCAACUGCCGACUGGGGUUGCCACGUAGGCCGAAAGGCACGUGUGUGGGCGAGCAUGUGGGAGAGGUGGGCCCCAGGGAGUACAAUGUGUGUGGGAGUGGAGGGGUACGGUGUUUCCGGCUGUUUCUUUGGCAGUUUCUGCCUUCUGGACAUGCUGGUCGCAUGGGAGACGUUACAACUUACACCUCCCAUUUUUUAAUUAUUAUUAUUUAUUUUAUUUUAUUUAAUGUAGUAAAUGAGAUUGAUGAAACUGUAAGAUUACGUAUUCAUUUUUGGAUAUUAAAUUAAAUGUUUUUUUUUGUAAUUAAAGGCAUGUUUCCAGGAAAAUCAAUACGUUGACUCGUGUGUUAGAUAAUUUUCUUUUUUUACCUCAAUAAAAUACAAAAUAAUUUUAAAAAUUACUUUCUUCUAAAAUAUUUUACAUUCUAUUAUUUUUUCCUUGGAUUUUUUUUUCUUUGUUAGUGUUUUGCUUUACUAAUAUAUAUAUAUAUAUAUAUAUAUAUAAAAGAUAAAAAUUAAUGUCAUUUGAUAACUUAUUUCGAAAAUAAUUUUAAAAAAUAUUUUUUUUUAAAUUAUUUUUGAAAAUUUUUAUUUGAUUUUUGUAAAAUAAAAAUAUGUUUGGAAAUCUAAAGUAUUUUUUAUUUAUUGUAAAUAUAUUUUAAAAAUAAUUUUUAUAUUUACUAUUUUAUUUUUAAUUAUUUUACUUAUUUAUUGUAAUUAUUUCUUAAAAAAAUUCUUUAAAAAAUAAGUAAAAAAAAUUGAAAAUAACUAAAAGAAAAAUUUUAAAACACCUUGAUUUCUGUUUUUGAAAAUGAAAAAUACAAAAUAAUUUUUAGUUAUCAUACUUGUUUUUCAUAUUUUUUUUGUUUUGGAUAACAUAAAAUUAUUUUAAAAAAUAAUUUAUGAACAAACCCUAAAUUUUUUCCAAUUUGACGGUUAAAUCAAUGAUCCAUAUAAUAACGAAGUUUGAAAUUUGUUUAAUUUUGACUAAAUUUCUUCUAAUUGAAUCUCACCUCGAUUGAGGCUGAAUUUUUGGAUCCACAUUUGACCCUUCUGCCAAGAAAAAAUUUUCUCAUUUGCACAUGUUUAUGACUAAAAUUAAUUAAAAAAUAAUCCUAAAGCCUGGCUGCUAAGCUUCAAUCAAGCCAAAAAGUUGUUGAUUAUGUUUUAAAAUUCAAAAUUUUGGAGGAGAUUUCUUAGACCAAGUAAACCGAUGUCCAUGGAAAACCACUUCCCCGACAAACACGUACAAAUGAAUUUUUCAAGCAUUUUCCCGAGAAAAUUUAUAGGAAAUUUAUUUUACCGUUGUUUUAAUAAAUUAGGUGUGGGCCCAUAUUUAUUAGAUGUUUCCUCAUUCGAUGGUGAGAUGAAAAUAAAUAGAUAAAUCUUGAGCGUAUAUUUAUGUGAUUGUCGUAAAACUUAGAGAAAUUAUGUUAAUUUAAGGAGAGAAAUGGGUGGAUGGCAUGACGAGGCGAGGCCUAAGAGCCUGCCCAUAAUCAAUGAGAAGGUUAUAUUGGUUAGAGUAGGAGACAUUUUAAUUAGAAUAAUAAUAAUAAUUCAGAAAAUGAUGGAAUCACAUGGGAAAGGAGAGUAUUUAUUUAUAGCAUAAUUGUGGAGCAUGAAUCAGGCAGACAAAUGGGUUCAUUUGCCCCUCUGGCUUACACUUCAUUUCCACAUUCUCUCAAUAAAGCAAUGUUGAAUUUUUUUUUUUUUUUCAUUUUAAAAAAAAAUUUGGUGAAAUUUCACUUCAAUUCAUCUUUAUUCAAAUUAAAGUAAGUAGUGUUUGUAUUUUUUUUUUUACUUAAUUUUAAAUAAAACUUAAAACUAAAUAGUAUUUAAUAAUGUUAAACAUUAAUUUGUUUAUUUUUGUAAUAUCUUAUUUUUAUUAAGUAUUGAAAAGUAAAAAAAAACAUAAGUGGUUUGUUUGAAAACUGUUUUCAAAAAGUUUUUUAGAAUAAUUUUAAAAAAUUAUUUUAUGAUGUUUUAUAAAAUAGAAAUAUGUUUGAAAACUUAAAAUAUUUUAACCUAUUUUUAAAAAUAAUUUUUAUAUGUAAUAAUUAUUUUUUAAAAUAAUCCUUAAAAAUAAGUCAAAAUAACAUAAAACAAUUAAAAGAUAUUUUUUAAAAACACUUUAUUUUUUAUUCUUAAGAUCAUAAAACAUAAACAGUUUUUAAUUACCAAAUAUGUUUUUUUGGUUUUUUAUUCUGGAGAGCAUAAAAUUAUUUUGGAAAAUAGUUACCAAACGACCCUAACAUGUUACUUUUUUUAUUUAGAAAAAGUCAUAUAUUUUAGUUUUUAUAAUAAAUCAUGAAAAAGUGAAAAAAAUAAACAACUUAAAAUUUGAAAAUAAAUUGAUAAAAAAAAAACACCCUUUAAAAUUUACUAAAAAAUAUUAUAAAAAAGAAAAAAAAUUAAAAAUCCAAAAUUCUAGUUUAAUUUACCAUAGAGAUUUAUUUUAAAAUUUUAAAUAAAUUAAAAUAACAUGUGGAAAAAUAUUAAUUUUAAAUUUAAUUGUUUUUUUUUCAUAAAUUUAGUAGUAUUUUAUAUUUAGUAAAUAAAAAUUUUAGAAGAAAUUCAUUGAAGUAAAGAAAGAAAGAAAGAAAGAGAAGCAUGAUGAGGAAGAGGAUAAAAGGGAGGGUAGGUGAAAGGUGGGGAGAUGGAUUCUCUAUUCACACACUACUCAUCAUCUUUCACUUUCAUCUCUUUCCUUCUUUAUUAUUAUUAUUAUUUUUUUUUCAUAGCUCUAUUAUUGCUCCCAUCAAACACACUUUGGUUUACCCACCACCCAAAUCAAAAGAUCCCAGACAAAGUAAAGCACACAAAAAAAAGAGGAGGAAAUGGAUCACAACCCAUCUAACAUUAUGGAUUAAUUAAUGUGGAAAAGGCACUAAAUCCGUGGUUAGAGUCAAUAAAAAAAGCAUAAAAAUAGUAUUAAAUUGGGUAAAAAAAAGAAAAAAGAAAAAAGAAAAGAAAGAAAGAGGUAGAUGGAUGGAUGGAGAUGGGGGGAGGAUCAUGUGUCUUUGUGCUUCCCCUCUUUUAUGAGCAAGUGAAGGCACCUUGACUUGUGGGGGGGCUUUUCUUUAUCCUCUUUUCCCUUUCAUUCAACUUAAAGUUGAUUGCAUAUUUUUCAAUGUACACAAGGUGAUUUCUGCCCUCUUUUUCCUCCACUUACAGAAACGGGGAAUCUCCCCUUUUUUAUGUAGUUACAUAAACGGAGAAUCCCCCUUUCAUCAGUCAGAUGCAUGAGUCUGACAUGUUCAAAAGUAUGAGAUUCCCAAGAGAGAGAUGGUGAGAUAAUGAAUGAGGUUUUACUCUAAUUUUUAUUUUUUGAUCAUUUUUAUACCACAAACGAUGUUAUAUCGAGAGGUAAUUUCUCGGGUUUUUAGUAUAUUUAACAGUAUUUAUCAUUUAAUAGCGAUUUAAUCAUGUUGGGAAGUAACUAGAUCACAUUUGAAACGAAUAAAAGAAAUGAAAAUAGAGAAGAAAAAAAAAAAACAAAGAAUCUUUGAGAAAGAAGAGCGAAGUAGGCAUAGUAAAAAGUAGGUUUAUAGAAAUGUGGGGGGGAUGAAUGAGAUUCCCAAAGGGGGAGUGAUGGUGAGAGAAUGAAUGAGGUUCUCCACACCACACUACAGCAAAAGCCAAAAUGAAGCAAACAACACUUGGGUACUUCUGUGUGUCCUUUUUUUAUCUUUUUUUUCAAAUUAUUGGGAAGGGGAUAUUGAAAGUGGGUGUGACUAGUUAAUGUGGAAGUCCCAUUCACUAUCAUUAUUUCUUGUAUUGGAAACAUACCUUACUUGUAGGGAGGACACUUAUAAGGGAGGGCAGCUUUUGAUUUGUAGGUCUCUCUCUCUGCCCAUAUUUUGACUGUUAGGUUGAGACUUUGUUCACAAACAGCAAUCACAUUGACAGGGUGUGUAGGUCCAAUCACUCUGUCUUCUACAUUCUUCCUUCAUCUUUUAGCUUUUCCAUCCUUUACCAUAUCAUAUCUUUGUAUGGAUAAAUGUAUUUUACUAAUAUAUGUGAAGGCAAAGUAUUUCCUUUUUUUUAGUAAUUGGAUUUGGUAACAAUUGUUUCAAUAUCUAUACCAAACCAUCUCUCUAAUAUAAUAAAGGCUAUUCCAAAGUACCCACACCAAAUUCUUGACAAUAUAUGUACAUAGAGUAAUGAUAUUAAUAUUUAUUAUUUAAUGACUUAAGUUGAAUUUAAGUUAAAUUUUACUUAAAUUACUGACUUAAAAUUUAUUAUUUAAUUCUUAUUUUAAGUAUUAUAAAUGUUUGAUAAAAUUAACUUAAAACUUAUUUUAAAUCAUCAAAGUAAUAUAUUUGUCCUCAUAAAUUAUAAUCAGGAGAAAUGAGGUCAAGUAACAAUAAAGAUUAUGGAAUAAUCAAUAAUAUCGUGGAGGUAAAUAGGGCAAAUGAGGGUAAAAAGAUAAAAUGAAGAUGUAGACUUAAUAAUAAAUUAAUUGUUUUUACUUAUCAUUUAAAGUUGUUUUUAAUUUUAAGUCAUAUCAUUAAGUUAUUUUACCAAACAUAUUUAAUGACUUAAAUUAAGUUAUUAAGUUACUUUAAAUUAUUAAGUUGAGUUAUAGUCAUGUUUUAGAUUCGAUUAAGUUUUUGUUUAAAAUAAACAAUAUUUACACGGAUAAGAAUAAGUCAUUAUGCUCUAAAAAAAAUACUUUUAUAACUUAUAAAAUACAAAUUCAACUACCGCUUUAAAUGAUUUUUAAAGUUUUUUGAAAUGAUUUUUAAAAUCUUAUUAAAUACAUAAUUUUUAUAAAUAAAAAUAUUUCAAUAUUGGUUAGCACUUCUAAUCCUUUUUAAAUGGGUAUUAAAGCAUUUCUCAAAUGUGAACAAAUUACUUCUAAUUAAUAAAUGAUUACCUUUCUACUUGGUCAAGAUAUACCUUAAAUAUGCAAUGCAAAAUACUCUUUUAAUAAAUUUAGUGACAAGGAAACAACCUAUAUUUAUAUAAUUUUUUCUUAAUAUCCAAUUAAAUUUAUUUUAUUUUUACCAUAUAUUUAGAGCCCGUUUGGCAGUGAUUUUUAAAAGUGUUUCUACCCUUAAAAACAUUUUUAAGUGUUUUUGGGAUGAAAAUAAAGUGUUUGGUAAAUUUUAAAAAACACUUUUGAAAAUCUGGAAAAACACUUGAAGUGAUUUUUAGAGAAUCACUUGACAGGUGUUUUUUUAAAAAAAACACUUCAAUUUUUUUGAAAUAUUCCAAAAAUGCCCCCCAGUGAUUCCCAAUAUCUUUCUUCCCUUUCGUUCAUAUCUCUCUCCUUUAUUAUUAUUUUUAAUUAGAAAAAUCUUUUUUUUUUUAGAAAUUAAUAGGUGGUCAUAUAUUGUUUUACUUUUAAAAUUAUCUUUUAUUCAAUGUUUUUUUUUUUAUUGAUUUAGAUGUUUUUUGUAAAUAUUUUUUAAAAUUUUAGUAUAGUGAUAAAAAAAUUAUUAUUUUUAAUUAGAAAAGUCUUUUUUUUUUUUUAGAAAUUAAUAGGUAUAUAUUGUUUUAAUUUUAAAAUUAUCUUUUAUUCAAUGUUAUUUUUUUAGUGAUUUAGAUGUUUUUUCAUUAAUAAAAAGUUUUUUUGUUUAUCAUACCAUUUUUUUUAAUUAAAAUUGUAUGUCCUUUUUGGUAAUUUAUUAAUAUUAAAAGUGUUUUUAUAUUUAUACAAUAUAUUAUCAAAAACACUUUAGAAUCAUUUUUUCUGAUUAUCAUAAAAGUGUUUUUCACAUAAACACUAUAGUAGAAAACACUUCAAAUAAAAACACUUCCACUAGAAUCACUACCAAACAGGCUCUUAGUGUAAAGAAAUCAAAUAGGAAUGAUAGGGGUUUUUUUAUAUACUCAUAUAAAAAAAAUUAUAAAAUAAGAACCUAAGUUUAUAAAAAUACAAAUUUUAAACAAUUAUCUAAAAAUAAUUAACAUUUCAUGUACUUUUUUAUCAAAUGUACUACCUUUAACCAUUCAGGUACUAUCAUUAAAUGAUAUAGGUACUACCUUUAAUCAUCUUAAAUAUUACCUUUAAUCUAUGUGUACAUGAAACUUGAAUUAUUUUUAGAAUGUUCAUAUUUUGUAAUUAUUUUUAUAUGAAUAUAUGAAAACAUAUUUUUUUUCUAUGUCCAUUUAAAGUACGUUUGAUAAUGAUUUUAUGAAGUAUUUCUAGUUUUUUUAAUACUUAAAAUUUUUUAUCUUUCAAGUAUUAAAAAAUUAGAAACACUUUCCAAAAUUACUGUCAAAUAUACUCUUAGAUUUCUUUUAUCUUUGUCAUAUAUUAGGGCAUAGAAAACAAUUGGUCAUGAUAUAAGCUAAUUCAUGGUUUAAAAAAAAUGUGGACAAGAAAAUAUGAAAUGAAAAAUGGGUUUGGGGUUAAUGAAAAUUUUCUAGGGCUUGAAAGUGAAUAACUUUUUAAAUAAUUUCAAAUAUAAAUUUAUUUUAUAUUUUUUUUUAAGAAAAAUAAAAAGAGAUAUUUUUCUUUUUCAUAAAAGGAUCGAAAAUUGACUAUAUGUUAAAAAUAUAUGAUAUAAUUAUAUUAUUGGGCUUGAUACUUUUUAUAAUCUAAAUUCAUUUGAUAAUAAUUUAUAUUUAGUGAGCUAAAGGCCAAAACUAUCAAUUCAUACAAAUUUGUUUUUUGUUCCCCUUUUUCAAAUAUCAAAUGAUAAAGAUAACCUUAUCUUCUCAAUGUUUUAGUUAAUAUUAUCAUUGCAUUUAUCCUUAAAAAGGAAAUAUAAUUAAUAUUCUUAGAUAAUAGAUUCCAAAAAUAACCUCUUUUUUCAAAUAAAAAAUAUUUUUUAUUUUUUAUUUCUUGCUUUUUCCCAACUUACAAUUUAUAUAAGGGAGUGUUUGGAGUAUUGAAAUUGGAUAAGCAAAAAGUAAGUUCAUUUUAUUUCUCAUUUAUUAUUAUAUGUAGAUUAGUUAAUAUAACAAGAAUAUGAAUCGAAACUUCAUUCCCGUGGAAUUCAAAACUUAUGCAAUGUUUAGUAAUUGUUUUUAAAAGUGGUUUUUUAGAACAAUUUUUGAAAAUUAUUUUUUGAUUAUCUAUCAAAUAAAUGUCUUUGAGAACCAUAUAUUUUUUUUAAGUUUCUAUAUUUUAAAAUAUGUUUUAAAAAUAAUUUAUAUAUAUAUAUUUAAUAAUUCUCUAUAUUUGUAUAAUUAUUUUUUAAAAUAGCAUUUAAAGAACAAAUGAAAAUAACUAAAAAAAUGUUUUCUGAAAACACCAUAUUUUUUAUUCUUAAAAAAAAAAAAUUGUUUUCUAAUUGUCAAACGUAUUUUUUUAAAAAUAAAAAAUAAAAAACUAUUUUUAAAAGCAAUUACCAAACAAACCCUUACUCUUUUUAAGAUUUUGAUUCAUUUAUUACAUGUAGUAAUUUGAAUAACUUUCCAUCUAAUUUUCAUUUCCAUCUCUACUUUCCAAACACACCUGAUUUUGAUUUAAAUAAAUUUAAUCCAUAGAGGGCUAGCCUUCAACCCUAUUCUCAUGUCACCCACAUGAUUGAUAGACAAUCAAAUUUGGACCUAAGCCAAAGACAAAUCAUGGAAAGAAAACACAAUUCAUGUUUAUGAAGUUUGGAGAACGUCAUUUUCACAAUAUGUAAUGUGUGAAACCAAACACAACCCCACUUGUAUUUCACAUGUUUGAUGUGUUUUUCAAGUGGGCAACCAAAUUAUUGCCAUCUUGACGGUUUUUCUUCAUUUAAAUUUUUUUUUUAAUGUUUUUCCUUUAAGCCUAAAAAGGAUGAAAUCAAUUCAUUUACUUAUUAUUAACAUAAUCAUAGCUUUAUUUGACCUCCACCUCCCCUCAAUCUAAUACUACAAAUCAAGAAUGUGAUGGAUAUUUUGAAAGUUUUAUGAUAAUUAAUUAGAAGACUUGGGCUCUCAAUUAUUGAAUUAUUAAAUUAUUGAAUCAUAGUCUAAUUUUGACUUAUUUGAGAUUUGAAACCAAAGUAGGAGCAUAGAUAAGAUGCUAAAGGUAAUGGGACACGUAAUGCAUGUGGAAUUUGGUAGGUGUGACAUUUAUUUAAUUUGGGUGCAUACAUUAUGGGCAUUUGAUGUAACAUAUGAUCAAAUGUGUAUCAAGGAAAAAAAAAUGUAAUUAUUGUGAUGGUAAACAAAGAAGAGAGUGUUUAAGUCUUUUCAUAAGUGACAAAUGAUAAAUAUUUUAUUCAUUUAAGCGAAUCAAAUUUAUUAUAUUUUUAUUAGAUGCGUCUAAAAAUCUUUAUGUCACUCAUGGUCGGUUUGACUCUUAAAAAGUUUGAUGAAAAUCAUGAGAGAAAAAAUAGAUUAAAAGAUAACAGAAAAAUAAAAAAUAAAUGAGGGUUUAGUAAAACUUAAUAUUUUCUGCUUAAUGAUAUAAGUUGAUUUUAAGUUAAAUUGUUAUCAAAUAUGUGUUUGGUAAACUAACUUAAUAACUUAAAAGUGACUUAAUAAAUUAAUUUAAGUUAUUAAGUAGGUGUGACAUUUAAUUUGGAUGCAUACAUUAUGGGCAUUGUGAUGUAACAUAUGAUCAAAUGUGUAUGAAGGAAAAAAAAAAAUGUAAUUAUUGUGAUGGUAAACAAAGAAGAGAGUGUUCAAGUCUUUUCAUAAGUGACAAAUGAUUUUUUUUUUUUUAUUUAAGCGAAUCAAAUUUAUUAUACUUUUAUUAGAUGCGUCUAAAAAUCUUUAUGUCACUUAUGGUCGGUUUGACUCUUAAAAAGUUUGAUGAAAAUCAUGAGAGAAAAAUAGAUUAAAAGAUAACAGAAAAAUAAAAAUUAAAUGAGGGUUUAGUAAAACUUAAUAUUUUCUACUUAAUGACAUAAAUUGAUUUUAAGUUAAAUUGUUAUUAAGUAUGUGUUUGAUAAACUAACUUAAUAACUUAAAGCGAUAUAAUAAAUUGAUUUAAGUUAUUAAGUAGGUGUGACAUUUAUUUAAUUUGGGUGCAUACAUUAUGGGCAUUGUGAUGUAACACAUGAUCAAAUGUGUAUGAAGGAAAACAAAAUUGCAAUUAUUGUGAUGGUAGACAAAGAAGAGGGUGUUUAAGUCUUUUCCUAAGUGAAAAUGAUAAUUUGUUUAUUGAAGUAAAUAAAAUUUAUUAUACUUUUAUUAAGAUAUGUCUAAAAAACUUUGUCACUCAUAGUCGGUUUGAAUCUUAAAAAGUUUGAAGAAAAUCAUGAGAGAGGAAAAUAGAUUAAAAGAAAAAAGAAAAAGAAGGAAUAAAUGAGGAUUUGGUAAAAUUUAAUAUUUUCUACUUAAUGAUAGAAGUUGAUUUUAAGUUGUAUUGUUAUUAUGUAGGUGUUUGUUAAACUAACUUAAUAAUUUAAUAACUUAAUUUAAUUCAUUAAAUAAGUUAAGUAUGUUUGGUAAAAUAACUUAAUAAUAUGACUUAAAAUAAAAAAUAACUUUACAUAAUAAGUAAUAUGACUUAAAAUAAAUAAAUAAACAACUUUAAAUAAUAAGUAAAAACAAUUAACUUAUUCUUAAGUUCAUAUUUUCAUUUUCUUACCCUAAUUACCUUUACAAUUUUCUUUGUUACUCCACGACCUCCUCUAUUACUUGACCUCUUUUGCUUAAUUAUAAUUUAUGAAGAUAAAUAUAUGAAUUUAAUGAUUUAGAAUAAGUUUUAAGUUAAUUUUAUAAAAAAAAACCUUAAUACUUAAAGUAAAAAAUAAGUAAUAAGUUUUAAAUCCACAACUUAAAUAUAAUUUAAUUUAAAAUCAACUUGAGUCAUUAAGUAAUAAUUAUUAAGUUUUAUCGAACACCCUUAAUUCACUUAAAACUUAUUACUUAUUUUUUAUUUUAAGUAUUAAAGUUGCUUGGUAAAGUUAAAUAAAAAUUUAUUCUUAACCAUUCAAUUGACAUAUCCACCCUUAUUAAUUUAAACUAGUAAUUAUAUUUUUAUUAAUCUUAAGCAACAAAUUUAUUUAUUAAAUAUUCAUAUUUAAAGUAUUGUAGAUACAUAAGAUGACUAAAAAAAAUAUUUACUUUUUAUGAACAUAAUAUCAUAGUUGUAAAAUAUACUCUCAUUAAACAUAAGUAAAUAAGGUAAAAAAGAUUUUAAAUUAAAAAUAAGAUAAUUAUUUUAACUUAAUACUUAAAGUUAUUUUUUUAUUUUAAAGUUAAGAUAUUAAAUUAUUUUAUUAAGUAUGCUUAAUUUACUUAAUGACUUAAAUUAAACUAUUAAAUUAUAUUAAUUCAUUAAAUUGAUUUACCAAACAUCCUCUAGAUACGAAACUCAAAGUUUAAACCCUUUGGACCGAUAUUAUAAUACAAACAAAUGAGAUGUAAGUGCAACCAAACAAGAGUUAUAUUCAAAUAAAUGAAACUUAGAGUGUGUUUGACAGUAUUAUGAGAAGUAUUUCUAGUCUUUCUAAUACUUGAAAAAUAAAAAUUUUCAAGUAUUAUAAAAGACUAGAAACACUUUUCAGAAUCACUACCAAACGCACUUUUAGAGUGCUUUUGACAUUAAUUUUAGAAAAUAUUUUUAGUCUUUGUAAUACUUAAAUAAUAAAAAAAUUUAAAUAUUAGAAAGUUAAAACUGCUUCCUAAAAUUACUACUGCCAAACGGGCUCCUAAUCAAGAUACAAACAAUUGAAACUAUUUUUAUUUUUUACUAUAUGGUAAUGGUUAAUCUGAUUGACCACCACUUUUCCAUAUCCAACCGAAAAACUACCACUUUUUUGCACCACAGAGAUAGAAUGACCAUUUUUCAAACACCCUCUUGGUUAAAAAAAUCCAUUCAAGAACCACUCAUUUUGAUUUUGAAUUUUUUUUUCCCCUUUUGGUAAGACUAUACAUGUUGCACUCGGAAAUCUUUUGAUUAAAGAAUCAAUGAAAACUGAAAACAUAGUGAUGUGAUUGAGGAUUAGUUCUAUGAAACUAUCCACUAAAAAAAGAUAGCCUAGAACAGAGCCCAAUAAAGAAAGCAAGCUUAGAGUCGGCAAUGGGAUGGAUUCAUCAAUGUGGAGUCUUUUACAAUACCUAACUCAAACCCCACCCAUCUAAUAAAUGUAUAAUUUAAUAAUAAAAAAAAAACAUCCUUGUCUAUAUUUGAAAAUAUUACACUAAUGAAUCUAAAAAUCCAAAACAUCACUGAUUUUCCCUCUCAUCAUGUCCCAUCUGUCAAAAAAAAAAUAUUGAAAUGACAAAACCUCAUUUGUAAGAAGGCAAAGAGGUUUUGUUUUGGGCUUCCCUUUUUUUCUUUUUUUUUUUUCUUUUUUUUCAAUUUUUUUUUUCUUCUUGUUCCUUGCUCUUCUCAACCAACAAGUCAAAAACAUCUUCAUGUUUACUUAUCAUAAAUCAAUCUGGGGUAUUUGUAAUCAAUUAUUUUGAUCUUUGAUUUCAGGAUUAUGUUCUUUGAACAUUGGCUUUUGUGGGUUCUUGUUCCUCAGUACCCGUUCCAAUGAAUGAGAGCCCACACCACAUGCAUUUCUAGAUUCAAUUUUGGACAUGGAGACUAAAUUAGCAUAGGGGCCAUUUUUCAAAUUUCUAUUUGUAUGUAAACAACUUUAUUCUACAUCAAGAAAACAUAGGAUCUCCAUUUCAAGAGUUGGGUUCAGAUGAACUUGGAUGUUCCAAAUAUAACUGCAGACAAAGAGGUUCAGUAGUCAUUGAUUUGAUAGGAGAUAUUACUGGAGGCGUCUGCCACUGCUUAGUGUCUGUUGGGAUCCAUACCUCUGCAUCUUUGCUCCUACUUGCAUCAGGAAGAGAAUGGAAGUAUGCUGUUAUCUCCCAUCUGCAAUCUGCUAAAAGAAGACCAUCUUCAAAACCUGAUUUCGAUAUCUACAAAAAUAAAGCCCAUUUUGUUUGGCAUAACUUUCUGGUUGAUUGAAGUUUUUUCCGCAUAUUAAAAGAGCUUUACAAUGUGUUUGAUUACAAACUACAAAGUUUUAUUCUGUGUAAAAUCUCUUUUUGUAGUUAAAGGUGAGUUGCUUUGGUAGAGAGAGGAGUUCUGGAAUGGGGUUUCAGAUUUUAAAAAAUUUCACAUAUCAAGUAAAAACCUAGCUUCAUGUAUAUCUUUCAGGAAAAACUUUCCCUGGAGGUUGCAGUUGUGCCAGAAGGGCCUUAAGAUGGGGCAAAAAGAACACAACUAACACAUAUUAGAUAUCUGGUUAACACCAGAGAAUUUGGUAGAACCAUGCAUAUCUAGCAAAUAAGCCGCUCAAUUAAUCAACCGAGCAUUCAACAAAAUAUGGCAAGGAUCAAUUAGACAUAUUUUAAGUUUUGGAAUAUUAAAGACUGAAUUAUGGACCUAAUUGCUUAUAGUUUUCACUUACCCCUGGGGAGAGCCUUAGUGAGGGUUUCUGAUACAGGAAGCUUGAUCAAGAACGACCUGAGAGAGAACUCCAGGGCAGCUUCUUCUACUUUUGAGUCAUACGAUUGGUUCACUGCAAGCUUGAAUAUGAAUCUCUCUAUGGGAAUGUUGUCAACAUUGAAGAAAAUAACUGCUACUCUCUCCACCAAUCCCUAGUUUGUAAAACAAGACGUUUAGGAUUCAGUGGAACUGCAUGGCACAUAACACAAAAUUAUAAUGAAAAGAUCAUUUGCCUGCAUAUGACAUUGGCAGAGAUAGUUGGAAGUGUCAAACAUUAGUAUUGUUCUUAAUCGUUCUUUAUCAGAAAAAGAAAUCGGCCAUCUACGGAUCAAGCAAAUAUCUUCAUGGAGACUAGCAACAGGAUAUCACUGUAUCUGUGCAAUACUAUAUAAAGUUUCCAGCAUAAAUGCAUUAGGAUCUGAACAAUAGCUUCUGCCUGGAUAUCUAACCAAGGUCAAUCUCAUCAUUUCUUGAAAAUAUUUCUAGAAGCAACAACAACAAUCAGUUCGACAAUCCCUCAAAUUAUAACAAAUUCUAGGUUUCACUUGUUUAGUGAUUUUGAUAGUAUGCUGGUGGAAUUACUGGUCUGCCAACACAUUUCAGUCCCAAGAUAUCCUAUUGGUUAUACAAUUUAAAAUCUGCAACCAAAUGGUAAAUUCAUCCUUAAUGAAAAGGAUAGCAAGCUCAUUUAAUUAGCUAUAGGGAUCUCCAUUAUUUAAAAAGGAAACUUUUAAAACUUAUUCUCAAAAAAAAAAAAAAAACAAAAAAAAAAAAAAUCAUUUCAAGCUAAUUCUAGGAGUCUGUAUUGCUGAAAAGAAAAAAUAAAAUAAGUAUAUAUCCAUAGUUGAAAAAGCCUUUCUUUUAGGUGCUUCCUAGUAUAGAAAAAUGCACUAUUCUUCAAGAAAGGAUUUGUUCUAAAAAUAUUUCAAACACAUAAAAGGUUCAAAAUUGGUCAUUUUAAUAGUUAAACUAUUUUUAUGAUUAGGAUUUCUUCAUAAACAAUAAUAAUUUUUUCAUUGAUGAGCUUUUCAUACACCACUGCAGCUUAUUUGGUUCAGAAUGAUUUGCCAAAUGUAAAUUAGUAGUACGAAUGGUUCAUACAAUCCACCAAAAGUCAUUUGUUCAGGUAUGACCUAUAUGCCUUUACAAUUAAACUCUAUUUUACCUGAUAAGCUUUUCCAUACUCCACAGAUUUAUACGUAUCUGAGAAUUUUACCAAAGUCAAUACAAACACCACAUAUAAUCAAUCAAAACCCAUUUGUUGGGUGAGACUCAUUUCUAAAAAAUAAUUUUCUUCUAAGACAUUCUACCCAUAUCUAUGGACUAUGGGUUUUAUUUUUCUAACUUAUUCCCCCAGUUACCUAUGUGAUGCAGUUCUCUUCAUUGGAUAAUAGAAGAGUGAAGCAUCUGAAAUUACUUAUCAGCCUACUCUAGACUCAUGUAGCAUAGCACAAACAGCUCAUUCACAACACUCCAAGCUGCCACACUGACUUAAAGAAAUGAUCAGUAUUGACAUAAGUUCAAUCAGGUCUCUAUUGCAGUCACAAUAUCAAAAGAUUGCUUCUAAGAUUAAGCAUGCAUUUGAAAGCCCACAUCCAACAGGAACCAAAUAGGUUUCAUUCAGCGUACUAUACCAUUUAAACCAAAAAUUAAGGUUUUUGGAGAUCAGAUAAAGAAAUAUAGGGGCCUUGUGCAUACAAGAAGCCACCAUAAAAACCCAUCUUAUUUGAUGCCACUAAGGGCCUAACACAAGCGACCUCUCUUAAACCCUAGUAAAACCCAAUUGCCCCAAUCUUCCAGCACUCAUUCCCUUAUAUUUCUUUCGUAUCAGCAUUAAAUACCAUUGUUAGAUACUUCCUUAGUCACAUAUCACCAGAUUCCCUUUUUUUUAUGAGACAACAAAAGCAUAUAUGAAGAAGCACCAAAAAGAGGGGGUGCACCCUUAUAUAUACAGGCUGUACACAAAAGACAUCACAAUACAAGCACCAAACAUAUACAAGGCUAACCUACAAAAACAAGCCAAGCUAUCCACAAGGAAGAGCAUCUAAGAAAUCCAAAUUAGAAGGUUUCUCCAUUUUCAAUGAAGCAUGGGACCACUCUAAUAAUGAUUUAAUGAAGAACUUCUUCAGUCUUUGAUCUAAGAGCUCUUCAUUAUUGAAAAUCCUUUGGUUAUGCUCUUUCCAAAUACACCAAAAUAAGCAAAUUGGAGCCACAUGCCAAACAAUUCUUCUCUUUUUAUCUAGCUCCUUAAAUUUCCAUUCAAGGAAGAGGUUUUUCACUGAAACCAGAAACACCCAUUUCAAGCUAAAGACUACUAACAAAAAGGUCCAUAGCACUCUUGUCUUAUCACAAUGAAUCAAGAUAUGAUCAAUUGAUUCCUCAUUGUCUUUACAAAGGAUGCAUCUAUUGACCAUGGAUUAUCAACUAUUCAUUAACAUAUUUGCAGUUAAGAUCUUCCCCCAAACAACUUCCCAUGCAAAAAAAAAAAAAAAAAAAAACGUUGUAAGGAGAGCUUGGGAUCCCCAAAUCUCUUUGGUUGGGAAUACUAAAUUGCUCUUAGCACUUAAGGAUCUGUUGGACAACUUGACACUGAAAUUUCCCCUCCUAUCGUCAUUCUAAAGUAAAGUGUCCUCUCCUUCUUGCACUUUCAAAGGUUAAAUACGCUCCAAAUAUUGGGUUAACAUUUCUAUUUCCCAAUUUUGGAAGGGUCUUCUAAAUUGAACCUCUCAAUGGCCACCUCUACCUCCUCCUCUAUCCCAUAAAUCUGCAAUUGUAUCAUUUUUGGAGGAGGCUAUUCUAAAAAGCGUAGGGAAUGUGUCCUUUAACUUAAACACCCCCCACCCAUCUAUCCCACUAAAAUUUAGUACAUCUAACACUUAUGAUUCAGAUAGUUAAUCUGAGACUGAAAUCUUCUCAACCUUUUCUCAUGUCUUCUAUAGGCUCAUCCCAAAAGGAUCCCUCACCCCUCGGGCAAUCCAUCCCUCCUCCAUCUCUCUAAAUUUUCCAUGUAUAAUCUUCCUCCACAAGAUCCCGCUCAAAAGAAAACCUCCACAACCAUUUGCUUAACAAGGCUUGAUUAAGGCCCUCUACUUUUCUUAGACCCAGCCCUUUGUACUUCUUAUCCUUAUAAACGUCUAACAAAUUUACCAAGUGGAUUUUCAUUUUCCCCCCGUAUCACCCCACAAAAAGUCUCUUUGACUAUGUAUCUUUCUUUUUUCCGUCGUAUCACCUCACAGUAUAAGAGAGAUUUCAUACUCUUUAAUUUUCUGUAAUCUAAUAGAUUGGGAGGUUUGAUAGAGAUAAAUCACUGUAAUUUUGGCAAAUACACAGUCAUUAAUUAAAAAAAAAUAUUGCAAAUAGAACAUAUGCAAAAUAAUCUCAAAACCACAGCAACCAUUGCUACAUUGGAUCAUGUCUCAAGGAGAUUAUUUCACUUUAGAGACGAAAUUGGCUUCCCAAACUUUAACCCAUAACAGUAGAUCACCUCAAAAUCAUCUCUAUUAUGCAUUGGUAUGCAAAGCAGGCUCCAUUGCCUUUUCAGAAAAUUACAAAUCAGCCUAUUUGUUCAUCAAAAUCUGGGAAGUUCCCAUUGUUGAAGUGAAAAGCAAAGAUAGAGGAUUAGGGGAAGGGCAGAGGAUGGUAAUCUAAGAUCACCAAGAAAAACGAUUACAAUAAUAGCGUCACCACAACCACUAUCACCAUCCACAUCAUCAAUAACAAGAAACAUCAACCAAUACGUCAAAGGAGAAUUCAAAGGUUUUGUAGGUUUAAAAGCCCAACUACAUUCUUGUUUGAGUACAUCAUGGCCUAGCCACUGAUAGCCACAGCUUAGCUGAAAGACUAGGUAGGAAGUUCCAACUUUCAAGUUCCUCCCCAUCACUAGAUACCCAUACCUGGAGUUUUAUUUCUGCUCAAAACCGUCUCUUUAGACACCAUUUUAGCCUUCUGAUUUGCAAACAAAAUCAUACAUUCAAAAUGAUUUUAAUGGAACUCAUGUUUUCUAGACAUGACUUUCCAUUAACAUUGUAACUUGAAAACACACUUCAACUUAACCUCCACUGACCAUACCUCUCACUCAGUACAUCCAUGUGCUGUCAGCAGCCUGCAUGGCAGAAACUGCCACCAUUCAGAAUUAUUUUGGGGACUUCCAUUUUUUGCAGUUCAUUUCAAAUUGCCACAUUUGUUUUUAAAACAGAAAAAUAUCCUAUAUCAUUUGUGUACUUCGAGUUGAGCACAGGUACAUGUGUGCACAUCUAAACUCUUGAACUUAUUUGGUCUUCUUCUGUAUCAUGAUGCGGAAUAAAGUGUACAUGUAACAAACAACCCCCCACAUUGAAGCUUUGCCCAUUACUAAACAUUUUAGUGGACAUUGCAAUAGAUUUAGAAAGUGUACAAGGACCUUCACAGAACAUCAUUUCCUUAUCUUCCUUUUAUGCCCUAGACUCCUAUUAUUGGCAAAAAUUCGAAAGUGACAUCAUGUGGGCAUUCCAAAAACAACAAGAAAAACAAAAUUCUCAUCUUUAAUAAUGUAACAUAUCACAUAUGGGAAUUCCAAGAACAACGUGGAGACAAAAUUAUAAUCUUCAACAAUGUAAAAUAUAUCAUUUGGACGCUCUGAAAAUAACAACAAAAAUAAAAUUUCAUCAUAAAUAAUAUAUAAUAUAUUUUUGGGCGUUCAGAAAACAAGAAAACAAAAUUUUCAUCUUCAAUAAUAUAGCAUAUAUCAUAUGGGCAUUCCAGAAACUAAGAAGGAAAAAAAAUAGACUAAAUAAACAGAAGGGGAAAAAAAAAAAAAAAAGCGCUGACCUUUUGGAUAAAAGGAAGAAGUCCAGAGACAGCAGAGUGGAUGUAGUCUCUGAGCUGAGGAUGGCGAGCCCUCUGAACCACCGCAUUCAUAUAUCUCCUUCUCUCAAAUGCGCCUGCACACCCACCACAAUUUUUGCGAAAGUUCAGUCAGGCUUGUUUGGUUGGAGAGAAAAGUCAGGUAAAUAAAGGAAAUUACACCGAAAAAUGCAAGGAGAACUUAAUCCCACUUGGCCAAAACAGUGGGUAUUAAGCAGAAUUGAAUAAUGAAAAUGUAAGACUCAAAAUUUUGAUUCAUUUGAUUUUCUCAAGUUCUCUUGGAAACCAUACAGAGAAGUGUAAGGCCCGAGGAUAAAAUCCUUUAAGAAAUGCAACAGGAAUUCCAAUUACCCUUGUUUGAUUGCCCAGAAAACAGAGGAAAAUAAAAGAAAAUUUACAUAAAUUCAUAUUUGAACUUCUCUUAAUGGAAAAUGAGAAGAGAAAAAGAAAAGAAAGACAACACCCGAACCCACUUUGGGAAAAAUAGUGGGUAUUGCCCAGAGAUGAAAAGCAGAAAAUCUAAGACUCAAAAAGUUAGAUUAUAUUUGAUUUUUCUCAAGUUUACUUGGAAACCAAACAAAGAAGCCAUGAAAUGGGUUUAUUUAUUUACCAGAAGGAUAAAUUCCUUUGAGAAAAACGAUUGAAGUAAUGGCGACCUCUAAAAAUUCCACAAGAAUGCGAGCAGUCUCAUUUUGCGGAGAUUGAUUCUCCCUUCUCUCCAUCACCAUGAAUCAAUCAACCAAGCUCUCCAGAGAAAAAGUCAUUUGAAAAUGAAACGGGAGUGGCUUGCAAAGGAAAAUAAGCAAAUGAAAUUAAAAAAGCACCUUUGUAAUUCAACUUCUCCAUUUUUUUUUUCCCUUGGGCUCCUUUAACCAACUAGCCCAAGUCCAAGACAGAUAGGCCCGGCCCGGUACAUUUCUUUCCCUGUGUUGGAAGUUGUGUUGUAAAAUAAAAAUUAUAUCUCAAUAUUUUCAUUUAAAAAGUAUGAAAUAUCUUUUAUACUUAGUAUUAUUUUAAAGUUGUUCUAUAAUUUAAAAUUUAAUAAGUAAUUUUUUAUUUAUUUAUUAAUAAUAUUCAUAAUUAAAAUAUUUAAGAUUUAUAAAUAAAGAAUGUUAUAUUAUGUUAUUUAAUAUAUAAAAACAAUUUGCAUAUAUUAUGUUGGGGUUGGGUGGGUGCCUAAGUUGGGUUGACCCAACCCGAUCGAAUCAAAUAAGAGAUGAGGGGAGUAGUUUUUGAAAGUUGGAACUACGAGAAAUUACCCAAAAACCACCCUCAUAAAAAUAAAAUAAAAUCUCUCUUUUUUACUUUUUUUUUUAGGAAAUAAAAUAUCGAGAGAAGAGCAAUGAAUAGGCCGGUGAAACAACUAUAUAUAUAUUUCCUAUAUUUAUUUUUUAUAUUCUCCACUUCUCAUUGUUGGAGCAUUUCAAAAUAGUAAUCCAAAGUUUUCUAAUAUAUUAAAUAUUAUAUCUAUUAGUAAUGUUAUACAUGUUUUUAAUUAUUUUCUUUUAAUUACAAAUUUAGUUUUUAAUCAAAACUUAUAUUUCAUAAAGUAAGUAACGUAAAAAAAAAGAAAAAAAUUAAUGAAAAUAAUAAAUUUAUGAACCAUUAGCUAUACAUAUAUGAUAUUUUAAUUAAAUAAAAAUAAAAAUGAAAAUAAAUUUGGAUGAAAUUUUAUAACUUUUUCUCCAAGACCAUUCAAAUAUAUAUAUAUAUAUAUAUAUAUAUAUAUAUCUUUUGUUUUUUCUAUUUUUCAUGGUUAACCAAGGAAAAAAGAAAGGAUAUAUUGAGAAAUUAUUCUUAAAAAUGAAAUACAAAAUAAUCAUCCCACUAUAAAAUCACGCUCGACAAAUUUUAGGCUAUAAUUGUCUUGAAAACCAAGUAAUUUCGAAUAAUUUGAAGUAUUUUUAUUGCUUUUACAAAAACGUCGUAAAAGAGGAUUAAAAGCCCAGAGAGUAAAUUGAAAAUUUGCAUUUUAUGUUAUAUAUUAUUAUGAGUUUCUAAACAAAAUUUUAUUUCUCAAAACAACUAAAAAUCAUUUCACAAUGUAUUUCCAACUUUCCCUAAAUCCAUGCCCUGAAAAAUGAAUCAAUAGAUUCAAUACUUUCUACUCAAAAGGGUAUGGUUGAUUCCACUGGGUGAACACACUCCAAAAACCAACUCCUACCAUCCCAAAUGUUCAUCACAAGCCACAGGCCACCAACCAAAUAGUCGACUAAGGUUCCCCUCCCCCUUUUUGAAGGAGACCCCAUCAUUCCUUUAUUCCUCUGACCAUGCACUUUGACAGAGAGCGUAUUAGUUCAUAUUCUUGUAUUCAACCACAAGUUCUUCAUAUUCCAAGCACCAAGUAUCUCAUCAUCUUUAUCCUCCACCCAGCCACCACAUCAGAAUCCGAUCUUUCUAAUUGCAGUAUAUCUAUAAUCUACUAGUGUUUUGUAAAUCAAUAAGAAAAAAGUGGCUUCACCACCUCUUUCACCUGCUCUGUUGACCCAAACCAAGCAACCACAAUAAUAGGAAGCAAAACUGAUGAGAACUGGUGAUCAACCACUAAUGAUGAGCACCAUCAGUCAUGUUGUCCUUAGUACCUGAGUUCAUUUUCAAUCUUCCACCAAGCAAAAAUAUCACAACACAAUAGGUAGAAUCCAAUCAAAUAGAAAAACAUUCAACCAUGGUUUAAGAAAAAAAAUAGUAUCAUCUCUCCAAACCAAUGUUGGUUGAAAUAGUUCCACGACAAAACCAUAUAGACGAGAUAACAUUAACUUUGCUGUUCUUGUCAACCAUGACUAAAUUGAAAACAUAAUUUGAAAAAACGGGAAACAUCCCCCGUUACAACUUCAACACCACUAAAGUACUACUACUCCACGGUAAAAAUAUUAAUGAAAACAAAACAAAAUUAUGCUCACCUUGAGUAUCAUCGUCACAUUCCACCAAUAUGGUCCUCUUUUGCUUUAUUUGACAAUGAUCACGGACCACUUAUAGCUUGUCCUCGAACUCAGAUAGCGGGGUCAUCUGCUCCUUCAAGCCCUUCCUUUUUCUGAUAUCUGCUACAAGUUGAGCAGCAGUUGAACCAGCUUCAAGCGGGUCAGCUGACAUUACGUCCCAGUGAUCAAACACACACUGUGGGAACGCCUGUCCUGAGGUUGCAGCUCUCAAAGUGCCUGAAAAUCCAAAGGAUUCGACGACAGGGAGGUAUGCCUUGAUGUUGUAGAGUGGGGUACCCGGCCUCUGCAUUUCCUCGAAUACAUGCCCACGCUUUUGGUUCAGAACACUAUAGAUUCCACCAAGUGCCUGCUCUGGGGCUUGGAUCUCCACCAAGUAGACUGGCUCAAGGAGUCGGGGUUUAGCUGUCAGCUGGGAAGCAUAGAUGACCCUCCUAGCAGUGGGAAUGACUUGACCACCACCUCUGUGAAUUGCAUCAGCAUGGAGGACCACAUCACAGACUUCAAAGCAAAUACCCCUCAUGUUUUCUUCAGCCAAUGCACCUUCCUUUGAUGCCCACUGGAACCCAGCAACAACAGAAUCCUUAAUUUCAUUAAGAUACUGAACUCCCUUACACAUAUCAACCACCAUGUUAGGGCCAGUGGUCUCAGGUCCAAAACACCAGAUUUUCUUUGCAAGAUCCUUGUCCCAACCAAACUCCUCAGACAAGAUCUUGGAACGAGCUUUGGGAUCAUCCCUUGGACCAACACGACCAUCGUCAAUGGCCUCUGCAAGACCUUCCUCCAAAGGUCGGGCCUCCAUGUAGAGACGGUUGUGCUUGUUAGGGGACUUGCUCAUCACAGUUCUGCAAGACUUCUCAAGAACAGUCUCACGGAAGGACACAACAGGGUCAGACUUAACAAUCUCAGCACCACCCAUGAAAUCAUCCUGCAGAUCCUUCAAACAGAUCUCCAGGUGGAGUUCACCAGCACCAGCAAUGAUGUGCUCCCCAGAUUCCUCAAUACUACAGACCACCAUAGGAUCUGACUUAGCCAAACGCUUCAAACCUUCAACAAGUUUAGGAAGGUCAGAUGCAACUUUGCACUGCACUGCAACACGAACAACAGGUGAGACAGAGAACUUCAUUGCUCUGAUUGGAUGGGCAUCAGACUCCUUCUCAUUGGUCAAUGUAGCAUUCUUAGUGAUGAACUGAUCCAAACCAACCAUAGCUACAGUGUUUCCACAGGGCACAUCCUCAACAGUUUCCUGCCUCUUUCCCAUCCAAAUAACAGUUCUCUGCACACUCUUGACAUACAGAUCCUUCUUCUCACCAGGGACAUAGUUUGGACCCAUGAUUCUUACCUUCAAACCAGUUGAAACCUUGCCAGAGAAAACACGUCCAAAAGCAAAGAAUCUGCCUUUGUCAGAAGCAGGAAUCAUCUUUGAGACAUAGAGCAUGAGAGGGCCUUCAGGAUCACAGUUUCUAAUAGCAGUGGCAUAGAUAUCAUCCAAGGGUCCCUCAUACAAGUUCUCUACACGGUAUUUUUGAGCUGUGGAAG
Molecule: long non-coding RNA, 55594 nt
Filed under: Vitis vinifera (wine grape)
Lineage: Eukaryota; Viridiplantae; Streptophyta; Magnoliopsida; Vitales; Vitaceae
Description: long non-coding RNA (VVIN_LNC006687)
Source: RNAcentral